This 75240-nucleotide long non-coding RNA is filed under the name Arabidopsis lyrata. RNAcentral describes it as "long non-coding RNA (ALYR_LNC001138)". The stretch from base 33024 to 33097 matches the Rfam family "tRNA". The record is from RNAcentral. Lineage: Eukaryota; Viridiplantae; Streptophyta; Magnoliopsida; Brassicales; Brassicaceae.
AACUACCGGCAAAAUCAGCCAAUUAUUACAUAUAAGCAAACCUAACGUAACAUUAGGGUUAUUACAGACUUAGGGUUUAUGGAGUUCUUCAUUUGCAGGUGCAAGGGUUGCACUUGCAGUCAGAUCCGCACUUGCAGGCAUCAUUCUCGGCAACGAAAGUCUCGCCGGAAGCCUCGUACUGAGAGUUCAUCGCCGGAGCAACGCCGAGGACAAGUGUCUCGGUGGCGGUGUUCUCCAAGUCUGGGUACAUUUUGCAACUGUACAAAAAAAAAAAACAGAGAUCGUUUGUCAAAAAUUAAGAAUAAAUAAAAACAAAGAGAUUUGAUUAAAAUUGUAUAGUAAUCUCAUCGAGAAAUUAGGGUUUUUGAUUUUCCGGGAAUAUUUACAGAAAAAACAAAAGUGAGAGAUCGAGAAAUUACCCGCCGCAACCAUUGCCGCACUUGCAGCCAGAUCCGCAACCACAGCUUCCACCACAGCAAGACAUGUUUUUUCUAGAAAAUUGGAAGAGAUCUCAGAAGAAUUAUGAAGAUGAUCUUAAUUUGCCUUAACAAGCUCUAAACAAAUAAUCAGUGAAUGAAACUUAUCAAUUGAGGAGCUUUGAUAUUUAUAGGCGAAAUUAGAAUUUAUGGACCGUCCAUGUGUCAAACGAUCUUUGUCCACUCUUAUCACCUAAAUAAUCGUUCCUCAAGUAAACAGAAAAUAAAAUUUUCAUAAUUUAGAGUUGGAAAUAAAAGCUUUUCACAUCUAUAAAGAUUUACAAACAUGAAAAAAAAUCUUACAAAAUCUUAGAUUUUAAUCAGGAAAGCAAAGUAACAAUUAUCACAAAUAAAAGUAUAAAUAUAUAUAUUUCCAUUUGACAACUAAGACAUAAAUUUUCUUUCAAUAUCUCCUUUGUUCAUUGAUCUUCACUAAAAGUUUCAUAUUUUCAUUAGUUCUCUCUUUAAUUUACAUAUAUUGAGAUUAGUUUGUACUUUAGAUAUCACUUUUUUCGCUUUUGUUAAAUGGUUUUCACUUUAGAUAUGGCUUUGGUUUAUCCAAUUUGAAAAAAAGUCUUAAAAAACAAGAUGUUGCAAAAGUAAAGUAGUGUUCCAAAGUUCGGCUUCAAUGACUUUUGUCAAAAGGUCCCGUGAAGUGAACAAAAAGAUGAUUCAACUUGUUGAGAUGGGCUCUCAAUUGAAAUAGUGGGCCCAUUAUCGACCUUGUCCGUUCUAUGUGGGUAUUCGAAUCGAAUCUCUCCUUUGUCGAUACAUUUUCCAAAAUUCGUUCUAGGUAAAAAGUAAUGGAAAAAAUAUGAGAACCAUCCAUAUGGGAAUCAUCAUGCAGUGUCGAUAAGUCUAAUUCUAUAAAAAGUAAAAGAGUGUCUAUAUGAAAAAAAGGGAUUGUAUUUUCCUUUCUCGUGAUUCCCUGACAAAGAACUUACGUGAAGAAAACAAAAAUGAUUAAUCAUGUAGUAGUAGUUUUUGGGUUUACACGUUCCGAAGAAUUUAAAUGAACACUUGCAUAGUUAUAUACAAUUUCGAAAAUUGAAUAAAAAACAAAGCGCCCACCGUGGGGCUCGAACCCACGACCACAAGGUUAAGAGCCUUGCGCUCUACCAACUGAGCUAGACGGGCUAUUGUUUACAAUAGGUAGCAACGUAUUAUUUAUAGCAACGUAUUAUUGCACACCACGUUUGGUUACAAGAACAUAACAUGAGAACCUUCUUAUCAAAAAUAUUUACUCCAAACUUUUUUAUCCUUACUCAUGUUAACACAUGAUUUCCUCUACAAACUCUUUUACACACAAUUUAUCACAAAUUAACAACAACAAAAACUCGUACAAACACCAUCCUUUCUCUAUUAUGUACCUUAAACUCCAAGCAAAAAAAAACAGAAAAUCCAAAAAAAAGGAGGAAUAUGAAGAAAUGAGUUCUUGAAUGCCCUAUUAACCUGAUACAAGCAAUUCUUCUAGAAGCUCCUCGAAGAUCAAAUCCUCAACUUCAAUCCCAACGCAUUCACUCUCGAACUGCAAAUCCAUCCAUCCAUCGUCUUUCGACAAAUCCCUACUCAUAAUCUUAUCAAACGAUUGUUGUUCGUCGUAUGGCUUGUACCGCAAGUAACAGCUUAUUCUAACCCAAACCUCUUUCAAAACACUAUACCCCACUGGCAUUGGAUGGAUCUUACAUAGGGAUGAUAAUGGUUUGGGACAAUAAUGGUAAGACCUUUCGUAGAUCUCGAUUAGUACCUCGUUGAUUAGAUCGAAGAGAAGCAAAUGGUUGCAGUUACCGCCUUCUUCUUCGUUUCUUGAACAUUCUGGAUCUUGGAACAUACAUCCUGUUGUUGUUGUCACUUCUUCGUAGACUAAUGGAUCUAACGGCUGAUAAUCUAAUUGCCACAUUGAGAGAGAUUCUGGUGCAUUGAAACCGGAGAUCUCGAGAAUGUCUCUUACAUAGUUGAAUUUCACUUUAUCUUGUGCAUCUAUGUUGAGGACUUCGUCUAAUUGUUUGCUUGUUGAGACAAUCUCUGUAUCUAGAUCUGAGCAACAAACAAACAAAAAAAAAAUUCAAUUUGAUCGAAAACUUUGAUAUGGAGAAAUAAUGGAAUGUUAAAGAUAUAUACAUACCUCGAGAGAUGUCAAAUACAGAAGGAUUUUCAUCAAAACCAACUGUAGAAACGUUAUUAGGACUUUCUUCUGAUGAUUCUUUUAAAGAUCUUGUUUCAGUUUCAGCGUCGACAAGCGUAGAGAUGUCUCUGUCUUGUUCUGUUUCUGCGUCAACUGGUGAAUCUUCAGAAGCACUCAUUGUUUGAUCAAGUGUUUCAUGUUCUGAAGAUUGAGAGUGAUCUUCUGAGAUCUCUGAAAUGUUAUCCAAACCAACUUGUUCUUCCUCGAUUGAUUGGACAGGAAGGUCAUCAAUCUUCAAAGCAUUAAAUUUCAUUUCAGGUAACGAAAGAAUCCUUCCCAAGAAUUUAGGAGCUCUCUUAGAAGGCAAAGCCGAUUCCUCUAACUCCAUCUUUGAUUUCUCUGAAUUACUAUUGUUCUUCGCGUCUCUUUGGAAGCUACACUCAUAGAGCUGAAGAUAUCUGUCUAGCGAUCCACACAGCGACGAUGCUCUAGUUAUUUGCUUCAGCUUCACGCCAUCUGCUUUGAUGCUGCUCUUAGCUGCAGAGUUUCCUUUUAAGUGUGCAAAAAUGUCGUCUCUCAAAUCUUUAGAAAAACCGUACUUUCGAGGUACUUUGUCUAAAACAGCAUCCAUAGUGAUACGGUGUUUCUCAUUCUUGUUCUCGUUAAUCACAUGCUUAAUCUUCUGCCUUAGAUCCUUAAAACGUUUGAUCACAACUUGGUUCUUUCCUCGCUUCCUUGCAUAACCAGAACCAGAUGAAUCUUCAUCAGCCAAUUUCAACAUUGUUUCAUUCAUCUUCUGAAUCCCAUCAGCUCUGUGCUCUGCAGCUAUGGAAGGAGAUGUUGGUUUUUUAUGGAUAUCUCCCACUGAGUCAAACCCAUUAUUAUGAUCCUCUCUGUUGCUUCCAUGAGUAGGAAAGGAUCCAGCUUUAGUCAUUGUUUUUGAGCUAAAAGAUUGUUGGCUCUGGAAAUGCCGGGCUAGAGGAGAACCCGGAUCCUGCAAUACUUUCAACAAGAAGUUUCUAUUCAUGUGUAUCAAAUUAAGAGCAUCAAGACAUGCUUUUGACCGUCUAGGUGAUGUAUCAUCCUCAUUCUCUGAGAAGUCCUUGUUGUGUCUCAUCUUUGGGUCAAACCAAGCUUCAUCAUCGUCGCUCUUGUCCUUUUUCUUGAACUCUUUUUCAUCAAAAUCUGAUUUACUUCCAUCAGUAUCAUCAACUUGAAUGUUGUUCUCUACUCUAAACUCUUCACUGUCACUGUUGCUUGAUUCCUCAGACAUGAGAUAAAGCGGGUUCAAAGAACCAAUCGCGGGUGAAAUGCCAACCGUCUUGUUAAAGACUCGGUUACGAUCAUCACCAUUUGAGGAAUUCUUGUCUGAAGAUUCAACCUCACUCAAUGACUCCUUCUCUUUUGGAUUUGACUGGACAGGAUAAGUACAGCUACGGUGAUGACGGCCUUUCUUCUUAGACUUGUCCUCUAUUACAAGUGCCUUGAUCAAAGCCUUGACAGAUCUUUUGAUUUCAGAAUGUGUUUUUCUUGACCUCUCUUCUGAAUUAAGUUUCUUGGACUUCUCCUCUGAAAUAUGCUUCUUUUUUGGUUUCUCCCCUGAGUUAGAAGACUCUUUGGAUUUUACUGCAGAACUAGGCCUCUUUGGCCUUUGCCCAGAGUCCUGAAGCAAUGAAUCCCAUAGGUGAGGAGGGUUAAUAAAAUUUUAUACUAAACCAAUGUAAGGUAUUCAAGUUUGCAGCAACUUACUACAUCUGUUUUAUCUUCCAGCUUGGUCUUGGGUACGGGAAUACCAUCUGGGAUUGUGUUGUUUGCUUCGCUUUUUGUUCCUAAAAGCAGAAAAUGGAAAAUGUUACAAAAGAUAAUCAAUUAUGCUCAUGAGAUUCCUUAAAUAAAAGCUGUGAAUAUAGGAGCUGAGAACAUCAAACAGAACCAUGGCAUAUACAUAUCUAUUACUAACUAGGCUUCAAGCAAAUCCAACCUAACUAAAAUUGAGACUGAACGGGGACAUGACAAAGACACCAAACAAAGGCACGAGAGAGCACAAGAAUCACGAAAACUGUCUUACCAGGAGAAUUUCUUCUACAAAUAACGGGUCUUUUAUGAGGAAGUCGUUUCUUGAUGUAACGCCAAUGGUUAUGCUUAAGAAUGUCAAAUAAUCCCCACAUGAAUCCAGGGUGGUUUUGGAUUGGGGAGCAAGUAACUUUGUGACGCAAGUUCUUUCCCAUUGGUGGUGAGUUGUGGAAAGAAAAAACACACACUCAAGCUAUAAGUUUAUCAAACCUGAAAACAAAACAUAAGCGAUAAAACACAUCAAUCAAUCUCUUGCAAAAAUUGUUAAAGGAAAACAGAACAAGACUUUCCAAAAGUAUGAGCAAUCUUUUAUGGUCAGAGUCAGAGAUAGUGAAUGUGGACACGAGCAAGAACCGUUCAUAUAUCUAAAAAGUUUGAUCUGAAUUCAUUCCGUAGUAUUUAAAACAGAUUAAGAUACUAAAUCAUAACAUAAAAACGUAUGUACUUAUACGCAUUAUGUAACGUAUAAAGGUCAUCAAUGGCGAUUCCAAACCCAAAACGUUAAUCGCGAUUUUGGCAAUUUACACAAAAUUCGUAAUCGAAUACACCCCAAAUCAUACACAUAAUCUGGACACGGAAUAAAUGUGGUUACCUUGUGGGAUAGGUGAAAUGUUUAUGGAUUUGUGUUGGAACAUCUUCUUCUGGGUUGCCAUAUCCAUGGCGAAAGAGAGAAAGAGGAAGAGACAAGACAGAGCGGAACCAUGCGUGCGUAACAUGAACUUUCAGAAGAAGAAAAAUUGCCGUUUUCACUAAUUUUGGGAUUAUUUAUUUUUGUUUAUAUUAAUUUAACAAUGAAUAAAUGGGCCAUUACUGUGUACUAGAUAGGCCCAUUUAAGGCUUAUGGUCCUUUUUCAGUAGCAACGGAUUUUAAAUUACUUUACUGACAAAGCCCGAGAAAAAGCAAGUCGAAUCUCCAAAUUACACUUCUGUUUUUUAAGACAUGUAAAAAAGAUCCGUUUAAGAAACGAGAAUGUUAGCUCACGCGCCCUUCGGCUCCAAAUUAUUGGAUUCAAUGAUUUUCGACCAAUUUCCGUCGACUGCAAAAAACGGGAGCGUUAUAACAACGCGAUUUAGAUGCGCGUGGGAUAACUAUGAUAUCUUGACUUUUCAUGGGUUCCUUUAUGGGCCGACGAGUGACCAAUUGGCCCAGCUCAUGACAAAUUUUUAGCCCUUUUUUUCAAUAUCUGACACAAUAAUAUUAACCAUUUUCUUUAUCAUAACUUUGUGCCUCUCUAAAUUACAAGGGAUAUCAAGUUAUCAAGUGCAAACUAGUAUUUCUACAAUAAAUGUUCUUUUAUGAGUUACUUGUAUUGUUAUUUUUCUCUCUCUUAUAAAUGUGAAACUGGUAUAUAUCAAUUCUUCGAUAACCGACAUGUAAAAAAAAAAAGGAAUUAACAAAAUUAGUGUUUUGUUGCGUUAUGUGUUGUGUAAUUGCAAAUCUGCUGUGAUUAUCUGUCUAAAGAAAAUAUGUGACAAAUAUGUGAUUUAUUUGCCACUAAUGUCACAUGCAAAUAAUAAAAUUCCUCGCAAAAUUUGUGGGUGUAUUCAAAAUGUGUAGUUUGUAAAGUUAAUGUGGUAGAAUUCGUUUAUCAACGUUAUUUUUUACUCCACGUAAUUUUGAUAAACCAUAACGUAUUUUCUAUUUUCCUUUCCAAGAUGGUACUAUUUGGCUAUUUGCUUCAACCCAUUAUCAAGUCAUUUGACUUUUUGCCAUUAAUACUUUAAUAACUUUCUUUUCUAAUCUCCUACAAAACCACCACACACUUCCACAAAAGUCAACUCCUUCGUAUAAAAAACAUCUGUUUUUUUAAUAGACCAAAACGAUUUUUUAUAUGCUAAUUAUUUUAUUUCUUGUUGGUUUAGUCAAACCGAAUCGGAUAGCGCAUUCCCGAAUCAGAAUGUAACCAAGAUUUGAAUUAUCUUUGGGUUAUAAAUUAAAAAAAUCUAGUCCAACUCCAACCCACACAAAGAAAAAAAAAAUAGGAGUAUAUUACAAUUAAAAGUUUGUUUUUCUGAACUACACUAAAAAAAAAGCUCAGAAAAAGACAUAUAUUAUUAAUUUUUAAAAAAAAUCUGAACUAAAAUCAAACUAAUCUGUAGAUUCGUAUUUAAUUUAAUAGAAAAUCUUUUGGCCUAAACCCAAAAGUAUUUUGUAGUAUAAUUUUACUAAUUCCACUAACAAUAGUAUAAUAAACCAAUCCCGAAAGAAUAAAUUUCUCAAAGUCAACUCUCUCUCUCUCUCUCUCUCUCUCUCUCUUCCACCUAUGUGACUCUGUCUCUUCUUCUUCAUUUGGUUUUCCAACUUCCAACAUACAUUCAACCAAACUCAUUCACAAGCCUCUCCUUUUUAUGAACGACGCCGAUUCUAGUGGCUAGAGAAAACGACAACGUUUAACACUCUAAAUCUCUCAAAUUCUCUUCCGACAAAUGGGAAAUGGAGUCACCACUUUGACCGGCUGCUGUACAGGAACCGUCACCGGAGAAAUUUCCCGGCGAUACGACUUAUCUCUUGUUCACGACGGUCUUGGCCACUCUUUCUGCUACAUACGACCGGAUCUCACCGGAGUAGUUUUACCGUCUUCGGAGAUUCCUCUUCGUUCAGAAACUAUCCAAGAAACCACCACAACUUUCCGUUCAAUCUCCGGUGCAUCGGUCAGCGCAAAUCCUUCCACCGCGCUCUCCGGAGCUCUAUCGUCGGAUUCUGACUGUCCGUACAGCUCCGCCGUCUCCGCCUCCGCAUUCGAGAGCUCCGGUAAUUUCGCCUCUCUACCACUCCAGCCUGUGCCGCGUGGCUCCACGUGGCAAUCAGGUCCGAUUGUUAACGAGUCGGGUCACGGGUCAGCUCCGUUUGAGCGACGAUUCUUAUCGGGUCCGAUAGAAAGCGGGUUGUAUUCGGGUCCGAUCGAAUCAACGAAGAAGGCGGAGAAAGAGAAACCGAAGAAGAACAGAAAAAAAUCAAAAUCGAAGAAGAAUUUUCUCACAUUCAAAACACUAUUCACGAAUCUAAUCUCUAACAACAAGUCUCGCUUGAAGAAGAGUGUGAUCGAGCCGAUCAAUGGUUCUGAUUCAUCAGAUUCCGGUCGUCAUCAUCAUGAACCUGUGAUUACUUCCUCACGAAGCCACGAGAACCCUAAAUCUGAUCUUGAAGAAGAAGAUGAAAAACAGAGCAUCGACUCUGUUUUGGAUGUUCAAUGGGCUCAGGGGAAAGCAGGGGAGGAUCGUGUACACGUGGUUGUCUCUGAAGAAAACGGAUGGGUCUUUGUCGGAAUCUAUGACGGAUUCAGUGGUCCAGAUGCGCCGGAUUAUCUCCUCAACAAUCUUUACACCGCCGUGCAAAAGGAGCUCAAUGGGUUACUUUGGAACGACGAAAAGCUUAGAACUUUUGGAGAAAACGGCGAGACCAAGAUCGGAAAAUGUUCCGAUGAGGCAGAUUCCGAUUCGGGCAAAGAGAAUUGUGCUGUGAUGAACAGUGAUGAUCCAGUUGCUUCCGGUGCAAGAAACCAAGAGAGGAGUGUGAAAUGGAGAUGUGAAUGGGAGAAUAAGUCAAACAACAAGACCAAAUCUGAUAACAAAUGUGAUCAGAAAGGAUCAAAUUCGACGACAACAAACCAUAAAGAUGUUCUUAAAGCUCUUUUACUAGCGCUGAGGAAAACCGAAGACGCGUAUCUAGAGCUAGCUGAUCAAAUGGUUAAAGAGAAUCCAGAAUUAGCAUUGAUGGGUUCUUGUGUUCUCGUGACAUUGAUGAAAGGAGAAGAUGUUUACGUGAUGAAUGUCGGGGAUAGCCGAGCGGUUCUAGGCCGGAAACCUAAUUUAGCCACCGGGAGAAAGAGGCAAAAGGAGUUGGAGAGAAUAAGAGAAGAUAGUUCACUAGAAGAUAAAGAAAUUUUGAUGAAUGGAGCAAUGCGUAAUACUUUGGUUCCUCUACAACUUAACAUGGAACAUAGCACAAGAAUUGAAGAGGUAAACAAAGAGUCAAGAAGUUAUUUUGUUGUUUAAAGUGGACUGAGAAAUUGAUAGGUUUUGUUUUAUGGUGACAGGAAGUGAGAAGAAUCAAGAAGGAACAUCCUGACGAUGAUUGUGCAGUAGAGAAUGAUAGAGUUAAAGGUUAUCUUAAAGUCACUCGUGCAUUUGGAGCUGGCUUUCUCAAACAGGUAAUAACACAUCACUCAAGAUUGUAUACGUUAAAUUAUGUAUCAUUUUUUUGCAUUAUAGGGUUUGCAAUAUGAACCAAAACUUGAGUAUUCUUAUUGUAUUUAAUGUUGAGUUUUAAUCUUUCUUUUUUUCUUUUUCUUUCCCGCAGCCUAAAUGGAACGAUGCACUUUUAGAGAUGUUCAGGAUCGAUUAUAUCGGGACAUCACCAUACAUUACAUGUUCCCCAUCACUAUGUCAUCACAAGCUAACGUCACGUGACAAAUUCCUAAUCCUAUCUUCUGAUGGAUUGUAUGAAUAUUUCUCUAACCAAGAAGCCAUUUUCGAGGUUGAAUCUUUCAUCUCUGCUUUUCCUGAAGGCGAUCCAGCUCAACACUUAAUCCAAGAAGUCCUCCUUCGUGCUGCCAACAAAUUUGGUAAGAAAAUUAAAUAAUUUCAUUCUUCUUAUUAAAAAAAGGCGAAAUUUCUGAAUAUUGUUGAAAUCUGAUAUUUGUUUGUUUUUAUUUAGGUAUGGAUUUUCAUGAAUUGUUGGAGAUACCACAAGGUGAUCGUAGGAGGUAUCAUGAUGAUGUCUCUGUGAUAGUGAUCUCACUUGAAGGAAGAAUAUGGAGAUCAUCAAUGUGAAUAUUAUUGUUUUUUCAUGAAUUUGAAUCUUUUGAAGAACUAAUUACAAUAACUCGGUAUGAUUAUUUUUUUCCGAUUUAAAGUUCUUAUUCUCGAUUUGAUUUUUUUUUCCAUAAUUUUUUCGUAUGUUGUAUCUAUGUUACUUUAUAUAUAGUUUAGUGAAAUUACACCAAAGUGGCAUAUAUAUUUUUAUAUCUAUGGCCUUUCUCGGUUAUAUAUGGAUUUUUUACUCCUUGUAUUUGUAUAUAUCAAAUCCAUAUAUUAGUUUCCAACACGUUAGAAUGUAGAAGAUCUUAAUGUCAAUAUCAUUUGAAAAUAUGUAUACUCUAUAGUUAUAAUUCCGAAUCAGUCCAUCACGAGUUACUAUCGGCGUAAUUUUUUCCAACGAGAUUUUAUACAUGGAACAUAAAAUUGGAAGUCCUUUUCAGAAUUUUUAAGAUUCACACUAUUCAAAAUUCAAAAGCCUGUAAAUCCUAACUUCUAAUGGUUGUCAUUCUUUUAAUCUGAAAAAGUCGAAAGACGCGUUUUGGACAAUUUGUCAAUGGUUAGAUAAAAAUCUUAUUUGACACGUAUUUUAUCAACUUAUUAAUCCAAUUUUUACUCAGAUUUGAAUCUAAAGUCUUUUUUUCCUCCGAGUACCAGUUUUCAGUUCACAAACGACAAUUUUGGGUUUUUUUUUUUUCCUUCUUCUAUGGGAGAUAUAAAAUGUGACUUUUCCAGUAACUUCGAGUUUUUUUUUUUUUUUUAAAUCAUAAUCUAUCUUAAAAUAUUAUCAUUUUUUUUUUGCAACGGCUCUUAAAAUUGUAUCAUAUUUACAUAUGUUAAUCAGUCAAGGUAUAUAAAGGGAAAAACUUUAAAAAUAUUUUUAAAAAGGAAUUUAUGCGAUUAUCAUUGUAGACCUAUUAUUGCUGUCUUAAAUUUAUUUGUUUUAAUAAUGAAAAUAAUCUGAACAGGGUUAAAUUACUUAAAAUUUCAAAGUAUCUUCUCCUGUUUUUCCAAGUUUGGUAAAACUACUAAAACAUAGGAUUUUAGACAUUUGAGUUCCUAACAUUCCGCUUUAAUCUAUUUCUAACAGAUCUCAAAGAGUCGUUCCCAUGACUUUGGAAACUCUCUGCUACAUUGACUCACCUAAAUUCUCACAUAAACAAACCACUUUCAAGAUUAAUGCGACUAUUACUUGCUUUACCAUUAGUCCAUUACAUAUGUUGUUUUAGGAUAAAGAACAGAGACACUUGUCACAUCCCGAAUCCUGCCUAACUAUUGUACUCGAUUUGACAAAAAGAAACCUUAAAACUGAUGUUUUUAUAACAACAGAAAACAUCAUGGACUCUACAGUUUCUGAGGAACCUAACAAUAACAUCAAAAGAGUAUUAAACCUUGUCCCUUACCAUAUAAACCUCUGGACACCAUCUUCAUGGCUCCACUUAAAAGGUUUAAACAAGAACAUUGCCAUUGUAAACAAAUUAAUAGAGACAAAAAUCGUUCCGAUGAGAAGCCAAGUGGCGAAGCCGCUGCUUCUGACACAUGAGUGAAGCAUGAAGAGGUAAAACGGAAUGGUGUAAUAUCUGAACUCGAUCAAUGGCGUAGGAACAAGAACACCGCAUGUAGCUAAGAAAUAGACCAAUACCCAGAUCUUUCUUCGAGCUUUCGCUAUCGAAUUGAGGAAGAAUAAGUCAGGUUAACAAUACAAAAAUAAAGGGUAAAGUAAAAGAGUAUACUACAUGAAACGGUUUUAACAUACCUAAUAAAGUUAGGAUUGAGAACCAUGAAUAGACGUAAACCGGGACUAACAUGUACUUCAUUAACCAAUGCGCAUUGAUAAUUCUUCUCCAUAGGUAGAAAGGAUAAUGGCGAUUAUCGGCGAGAAGAUAUGGAUGAGCCAAGCUACAAAGCAUUUUCAGAAAAUAAAGAGAACUAAGAGUCUGACGUAGAAAAGUCUAUAGGUGUUUUGAGAAGUAUUCAGAAAUCAAACCUGAAAAAGUGUACAGAGACAAAUCCGGCUACCAAAGCCACAAGUGUUAGUAGAAGGCUUAGUGGCCAAUUUCUAUGGAGCUUUUGGAACUGAUUUCUCAGUUGAUUUACUGAGAAGUGUAGCGGAGCAGUGAAAAGAGCAGAAACGAGGCUAAAAUACAUUAUCUGCGCAAAAUGCAGUGAAACUACAUGAGCCUCUUUUGCACCUGUGAAUUUGAAUUGAUGGAUUAGUAAAAUGACAAUGUACACCUAAAUUUACAUUUCAAGUAAAUACAGACAGAACCAAUUCCUAAUUGAAGAGUAAAUAGGUAAACUAAAUCAACAUACCGAGAACUAUACCCCCAUUCCAGAGGAUAAAUAUACCAAACGCCACCACAACAAAGAUAAAAGGGCUAAAAUUGAUCAAAAUCCUCCACUUCAUAUUCCAAGAUGUUGAGAUUACAGCAUAAACAUCAUACAGUAAGCCUGCAUUUUAAACCUUAGAUAUUGUAAGAGAUGAGGAACAUUUAUACUUUUGCCUGAGGAAAGCAAUAAUUUGCCAAACUAUAAACAAAACAUGUAAAGAAGCCUACCUGAAGUAUCCUCUGUUGAAGAAACAGUUUGACCGUGGUUAAAACGGUCUGAAGUGUCUGAGCUGAUAUCAGAUUUUCUUUUUCUAAGAUUUGAUCUGAGAGAUGUUCCUUUCCUAUCACUAGACUGAUGCAAUUCUUGAUUUACUUUUUGUUUUCCUUUUUGCCUAGACGAGUCAAGAGUGAAGUCUAUAACACCUGAGCAAGUAACGAAAAGCAUCCAGACUACAUUUGUUUGUCGGAUAGAUACUGCUAAAGUGCCAAACUGCAAGAACAAAACCGAAAUAAAAUUGCCUACAUAAUUGUAAUUCUAAGUUCGAACAAUAACAAAACUAACUUGCUUCAAAGCACUUACCAAUGCACUCAGCAUAUAUCUUCUUUUCAAACAAGCAAGGUACAUGGCAAGAACUGCGGUUAGAGACGCAACAUCUGUAUAGUAGAGGAAAGUGAAGAACCAAUGGAGAGGGUAAAGCGACAUGACUAAGGCCAUAAAAGUCGCCUUUCUAUCACUGAGAUUCGGCCCCAAGAAUCUGAUUAUCACAUACACUAAAACACCACACAAUACUGCAAAAACAGCAUUUGUAGACCGCAGGACAGAUGUCGAACAAGCUUCUGGAAAGGACUGAGUAGUAUUUUUCAUCAACAACAUUCCUGGAAACAAACUAGCAACAUGUGCUAGUGAAAGAUAGUACCUACAAAAAUUGCAUGUAUACCAACAUUUUCAAAUUCAAAAGAAGUAGUAACAACACAAAUUGGCAUCAAAACACAUUGAAAAAUCCAGACUUUAAAGGUAACUAAUUGAGAAUCUACGUAAGAAGAGAGUAUUACAAUCCAGGUGGGGUAGUGAUCAUUGGAUCCCAACUCCUAAAAUUCCCAUUGCAGUAUUGCUGAGCUUGAGGAACAUGAAAUAUCUCGUCCUGCAAAAUUCAACAGUAAUCAAAACAAAUCAGAGAGAUAGAGAGUGAUUCGCAGAUUCUAUUGAGAACCCAAGUUCUAAAAAGGGGGUUUUUUACCAUGUAGGGUUCAGGGACAAUGUGAUUGACGAUAAUCGACAUUGGAUCACCCACAAGCUCGUGAUCGCUGCAACGGUUAAUUUCCCCAUAUUUCCUCUACGAAAAGAAACCAAUCAGAUCUGGGUGAUUAUUACAUUCGCGGAUCAAUCAUGGGUUUUCGUGCCCUAACGAACAACACAAUGAAAAAUCGGAUUUUGCCGGGAAAUUGAGUGAGCUGAAAGAAGACGGUGAGAUUUCAUCGGAGAAGAAAACUCGGGAGGAGUCAAAUCGAAGUCAACGUUUUCACUUUUCAAGAUUAAAAUUGGGCUUUUACCAAAGCCCAAUUCAGUUGUGAGGAGAAAGCCCUGUAUUUAAUAUAAAUUUUUAAUUCCCAGUUCUUUUAAAGUAGAUAUUCGUUUAGACCUCUAUGUUUUUAUACAAAUCUUGUUAGACCCAAACUUUUUUUUAGUGAGAAAUAAAACGAAGAGAAGUUCAUAACUAAAGUUAUUCGGAUUUUUUUUUAGGUAAAGGAAUUUCUUCGCUUUAUUAUUUUGUCAAUUUCACUAGUCAUGUUAAGUAGAGAUCAAUAAUCACUAUAUAAUUGAUAAGCCAUACACAGCUGUGUGUGUCUUUCUUUAUUUGGUAAUAAUGCCCAGCUGAUAUCGAUAUGACUCUGAAUGAGUUUGAAUUAUUUUCUAACGAAAAAGAAUUAUCCCCAUAUUAUUAUUUGUUUCACAUAUUCCACCUUUUUUUAAGUUAAUAAAACAUAGGAGUAUUAAGUUUUCUAGUUCGACAAUAUUUCACUUCUUAUUUAUUAAGAAUUUAAAAUUUAGUUAUCAAGUUGUUUUCUGUUUUACUCCUCAAAUUUAACCGUAUACAAUUGAAUUCAAACUCCUUGCAAGUUGCAGCUAGCAAACCCAUAAUACAGAACCAAAAAAUUGCAUCUGCGACUUGCGAUGCAAAAUUCCAUAAUUCAUGUAAAUAAUGUAAACUCCAUGAACUUUUCUAUAUGUAUAUUGUUUUUUUCUUCUAAAUGAGACCUUUAUUAAUUAUUAGAGGAACAAGACUAAGCAUGUCCUACACAAAUAGACAACAAAGCUGUCUCGUGUCCUUAGGAAUAUACACUGCAAAGCGAUUUUUAUUAAAAGAUGUGGGAAUCACAAAUAAAGCUUUAUAAGAUAAUGAAAGCAUUCAAUUAGAAUCUCUGGACCCAGAUCCCAACCUUUAUCUAAUUUACUACUAUAUGUUUUGACUUUAGUUUAUACUAUUAGUACUUUGUUUAAGGUAAACUCCGUAGAUAAGCUGUUUUCUCUUUUGUUUACAAGAGGGCAAAUAAAUUAUAAAACUGCAUAAAAUUAUCGUGAAAAACAUAUAUAAUCGUUGAUCCUGAAAAUAUGAUGGUUCAUAACGUGUAAAAUAAUUAAAAUAUUUGACUGGACUAUCAAUUCAUGAACAUCACACAAUUUGUUUUUUUUUUCAGACUUUCACAGUGUAGUUUCCUCAAGAUACAGUGUGUAGUUUCCUCAAGAUACAGUGUGUAGUUUCCUCAAGAUCUUACUUAGAGUGAUUAAUUAGAGGGGGUUUAAAAUAAGAUUUUAACUAAAUUCAGUGAGGUGAAUAAUAGUUGUUACUGAUGAUGAUCCUUAGAUAGAGUGGGUAAAACCAAGGAAAAUAAAUGGUCCCAAAAUUUGCAUGUGGGAUUUGAUUCAUAUAUGUCUAAGCAGCAUCGUUUGAUGUCAUAAAGUAUCUCAUUUUUUUUUAUCUCUCCAUGUGUAAAAAGCACACCACCUUUGCUAUAUAAAAAGAGAGAAACCACCCUCUUUGAAUUCUAUAUAUACACAUAUAGAUAAUGUUACUUGAUGACGUUAACACUCGAGUUGGAUAUUUGUAACUCGAAGACAAAAAAAAACUGUAUUAAUAUAAUUUGUAAUCAGUAGUAUCAAUUAAAUGGAAACCCGAUCAACAACUUCUUAAUGAUACUACAAAACUAUGGAAAUGACCAAUAUAUAUUUAUUUAGAAUAUAAUUAGCUUAUAAAGUCUUUCUCUUUUCUUUUUCUUUUCUUUUUUGUUAAAAGCUAUCAUAGAAAGUUUUAUUUUAACUUGUUAGUAUAUGCUUUGUAAGAGUUUAUGAAUUUCGAUUGUACGAUCUUGUUAUCCUUUUCAGAUUAUUAAAAUGACCAAUGCAUAAACAUGUUAUUUGAUCAUGUUUGCAACUUUCUCUCGUGACUUUUGAUAGUACUAUAUAUAUAUACACAUUUAUGAAAAUAUAAAUUUUGUACUUUGAGAGAGAUUUUUUUUCUCCUAAUUAAUUUUCUGACCCAAUAAUAUGUAUAAUUUAUUAAGCUAAAGAAAGUAAAUAACAAAACGUGAAAGAUGGAGGACAUGAUGAGCACCCAUGUGCGUAUAGUCAUCGCACCACAUGCCUAGUCGCCAAUCUUUCAUUAUCCUUUGCUAACCUUUUAAUUUACUCACUUAAUCCAUACUUUAAUCCCCUAAUUUAAUAUCAUUACUUACAUCUUUAUAAUUUCACAAUUUGUUAAUUUGGACUUUGGAGGAUGGUUCUGGUAGGUGGUCGUCGUUUAGAGACGUAUGGCAAGUUUACCAAAUCUAAAGUGGUUCACAUUUUACGGCUGAGGAAUCCAAAGUUAAAAAUUUCCACGAGUAUCUCAUAUAUAGAUUAAUUUAUAAAGAACAUCAAUAUUUCAAAUGUUUAUGAUAAUAAUAUCAAGUAAAAUAGCAACGGUAAUUAAUGAUGGAUAAAUACAAAUUUUAGAACAGUACUGUGUAUUGUUAUUGGUUUUGAACAUGAAAAGGUUGCGUCUGAACUUUGGAGAUCUCAUUGUUAGGGAUAUAUUUAGCAAGUAGUCAUAGGCAUACCCCAAACUAUUGCUGCAUUUAAUGGUAAUCUUAUGUUUUGUUUUCUACUCCUAUAUAUCACAAAACAGUAAAAUAGUAAAUUAAAAAUAAUUCGAUACAUGUAAGAAGUUUAGCUUAUAAACAUUAUUAUUCUUAUUUAAAAUAAAUAAGAAUCCUUCAAAAGUAGUAUCAUUAGCUUGUGCAAAUUAGUAUCAUUAAUUCAGUUUAUAUUUUAAAUCUAAAAAGUAACAUCUUACAACGUUUUUUAGAGUAAAUUAAACAUCACUUUCUUUAGAGAGGCCGUUAUGCAAAUUUUUUUCCGAGAAAUAUAAGCAAGAAAAAAAGAUUAUUUUUUUCGUGUUUGAUAAGGAAAUUAAGAAACAAUGACAAGUAUCAACAAAAUUGAUUAGUGAGAAGUCAAUUAUUAGUUGGUGAUUCAUUACUUGCGUGCACGAUAAAGGAAGCAUCUGAGAAAUUUAUUUUGUCACGAUAUAAGACAAAUAUUAUCAUAUACGAAACCGUAUAUGAAGAUUGAAGAUUGAAGAAACAUGAGAAACUAAAACAUAGAAAUUUCAAAAAAAAAAAAUACCGCGAGGUCCCAUGCAAAGCAAAGGCACGUGCGUCUGAUUUGCAUCAAAGUUUGUGAACAAAUUUUUUUACCUUUUCGUUUUUCUUCGAUGUGGUUCAUUUUCCAUUUAAUAAGCAAAAAUUUGUAAACAUAUAAGAAUGCAAAUGCGUCAAGUAGUAAAGAAAGCACGGAUGUUUUUGAAUCGCCAAAAUCGUUAUUCUGAAAGUCAACAAGACUAAUCAAAUCAUCGAGAAAAUUAAUAAAAAUUAUUUCAUUUACAUGAAAGUAAAAAGUAAUUUAGUUUUUUUCAAUAAAUAAAAAAUAUAGUCUUUAUGUAUAUAUAUAUAUAUAUAUAUACUGUAUAUAUAUUCUUUUGCAUGCAUACAUAUUCUGAUAUUCACAUUAUGAUUAGUUUGUAAACAGUGUUAAAACGGCAUUGUAAAUUGUUGUUAUAAGUAGUUUAAAAUCAUAUAUUAAAAAGGGCAUUCUCAUAGUUUUAACAUCGAAUGUUUUGGCUCUAGAAAAUUAUUUUUUGGUUUGCAAAUAGUGUUGGAUCAUAUAUUUGAUUUUCUUUUUCUAGGUUUUUAUAGCUUACUGCUAAAUUUCACAUAGCAAUAGUAUACAUUAUACAAUGUAUAUAAUGAGCCUAUAAUAAAACAAAUCAAAUAAAUAAACAUUUUAUGUAAUCCCGCCACUUGGGAGACAGAUCACUAGUUAGUUGAAAUGGAGGCUUUCAAGCUUCGGAUCCAACGCACGUAAUCUCUCUCUGUCUCUCUCUUUUUCUUUCUCUCUUCUUCUCUCUUUCUCUCUCUAAAACUUGUCUAAUGGCAGAGAUCUGCUGCGUCAAAGAGAUCCAAGAAGAAGACGUAGAGAAGAUCCGAUUACCGACCCGACCCGAAUUAGACAUCCCUGACCCUGAUCACGAAGAUCCAACGGUCAACGAAGAAGAUGGGUGCAAGACUCCAACAUCGUCCGAUCACAAGAUUCCGGAGGUGAAGUAUACGUUAUGUCCACCGGCUCCGAGAAAACCGAAACCGAACCGGUCGUCAUGUACGAAACGGAAAUUAACGCCGGUUAAUGUUGUUAACCGUAUACCGAUUGAUCUGAGCCGUGAGAUCGAGAUGUUCUUCGAGGAUUUGGACCGUAGGAUCAAGAAGUCCCGGAAACAAUAAGAUUAUUGCUUUAAUUGGUAAUGAUCGUUCAUUUCUAAUUCAUGACUGUGUGGUGGUAAUUUGAUCCUUUGAAUUUUUCUUCAUUUUUUUGUUUGUUUUUCAUUUUCUGUAUAAUUAAUUAGCUAAUAACAAUAAGAAAAUUUAUGUAUCAUUUAAUUUGGAAUUAUACAACUGAAACAAAGUCAAAGCUCACAUUAUAAUUUCUUCUUUUCAAUUUCAACAUUAACUUACGUUUUCAAUGCAUAUGUAUUAAUUGUCUUUUCUGAUUUUGAUAUGUUUGAUUUUUGGAGUAGAGCAAAUUUGUAAAUGUAAUUAGCCCAAAAAACAGCUUGAGGGUAAAUUUAGUUUGAAUCAUGUAAUUUUCAUUUGGCCAGUUUCAAAUUUUCAUUAUAUUAUUAUGACAUAUUUAAUUUAUUUUCCUUUGAAAAUAGUAUAUUUAAGAAAAUAUACUCCUUCUGGGUCUUAAGCUCACUAUGAAGAAGGUAGUCUUAAUAUUACACAAAUAUAUUUCAUAUAGAAGUAAUUAUAUUUAUUUACCUGAUUAGUCUUAAUACAAUAAAGGCUCAAUUUUCCUAUAUCACACAAAUCUAUACUAUCACAUCACUAGAAAAACUAUACCUGAUCAGUGACAAUAAUAGAUUUAACAAACCUAACUAAGAUUUGACAAGAAAAAAUAAACUAAAGAAUUUCAGUGGAAGCAAACAUCCUUCGUAAUGGAUCAUGCUUCCUGCUUUGGGUACACCUUGUUAUGAUCGAUGGAUAGAUUAAUAUUUUAUACACCUCUAUUAUGUGUGUGCCAUUGUGAUGUAUACAGGGUUAAAAUGCACAUCAAUCAAGGAGAAUAUCGUUAAAUUCCAUAAAUUUUCAGAAUUUAUUAGAUACAUAUAUUCUUCUACUUUCAUGUGUGGUAUACUGAUAAACUAUUCCUGUAACGGAGCUGACCGCAAUAAUAAUUUAUUAACAUUACUUAAAUAUAAAAAUAAAUAAAUAAUAAUCUCUUUUAUUAGCUCUUAAUCUAAAACACAAGAGUAAGUUACUCUAGUUGACACAUACAAAAUUUAUUUUCUCUUUAAUUUGAAAUGCAACCACUUAGGCAAAAUACUUUCUAAAUAUCAUAAGCAUAUCUUUUACUCAUGUACACAUUACUUUAUAAAUUAGAAAUUUUUUGAUUUUGUGUUAUUCUCAACAUUAAUCUUAAAAUUAAUUUCAAAACCAUUUAAUAUCAUGUAAUAAAAAUAUGCCCCUGCCAUAGUACUAGUUUAUGUAAUAUUGUGUGCUGGGUUUAGCGAUGGCGUGUUGUUUAAUGUAUCCCAUUGCAAUGAAUCGAUGAUGUUUUAUAUUUUUUGCUUUCAAGCUUUUCUAACUUAGGGAUUGAAAAUAAUGGUUCUUCCACGCAAAGCAGCAUAUCAAAAGAUCGGAUGACGACUCAGCAGAAAUUGGCAAAUGACGAUGAAUAUAAUCUCCCGUUAACUUUUUGAAAAACUAGUGUCAUAUUAUCUAGUAUCUACGGUACUCCGAUUAUGCAAACACUUACAAUUAAAAUUAAAUUUUAUAUAUAUUCAUACGAAGAAAAUAUAACGUACUAACAACAUUAUAUAUAGAACUAGUUAAGACCCAAUUCCACAAGCUUAGUUUCUCUCUAGUAAAACAAAAAACAGUUUGAAAUCAGAGGAACCAUGCUAGACAUUUUGGACAACACAAGAGUCGCGGAGACCGGAGAUUCUCACUACUGGUACUGGAUGCUUGGUCUGGUUUUCCUGAUUUUCUUUUUAAUCAUCGUGGUUACCCUCGUAAGAAAUUGGUGUGGUGGUCGUCGACACAGGAAGGUUCAUCCUAUGACUGAUGACAAGAAAUGCAAAUGGGUAAUGUGAAUUAGACGUAUAGUUUUUAUAUUUACUUAUAAAUAAAAACAUUAUCGUCAUUAAAACCAUCAGUAUAUAUAUAUAUAUAUAUAUAUAUAUAUAUAUAUAUAUAUAUAUAUGUAUCUCCUAUCUCUUUCGUAACCUCUGAAGUGAAGCUGUGAAGGAAUCAUGAACAAAAUAAAGCGUCUUUUUUUUUUUUGUCUUUUUUGAUAAAAUGUAUGGAAAUCUUGGUCUACUCAAGAAAGGUUUAUACUUUAUAGUAUAGCUCAAUGAUGUAAUAAGAUAUUGAAGUUAUAAGAAUCUAUAUUUCGUCGUUAAUCUUUCAAGAACUAUUUGGGCUUGAAGAACAUAUAUAUAAUGAUCAGUGGGCCGACAUUUUCAUAUAUUAUUAGGAAUGUGGCCUAACUUAACCCAAAAGCUAGCUCAAGAGUUAAGGAUUGCCACAUCCUUUAUAUAUUACCCAAAGAUCUUAAUCCUAAGCAAUGUGGGACAUUCUAAUAGGUCUCCUCGAGAUGUGGGUGGGAAACGGUCCAACGGGAAACAGCCCAAGCCCAACAUCUCGGAAAUACAACAAGACAUGCCACUUAUAUGGGCCACAUAGGUGGGAAACCAUUUGUGUGGGAAUUUGCUUGUUGGGCCAACCUUGGGCUCUGAUACCAUAUUAGGAAUGUGGCCUAACUUAACCCAAAAGCUAGCUCAAGAGUUCAGAAUUGCCACAUCCUUUAUAUAUUACCCAAAGAUCUUAAUCCCAAGCAAUGUGGGACAUUCUAAUACAUAUACUUCUUGAAUUAUUAUAUAGAAUUCGGCAACAUAAAUAGUUUCGGAAAAGUUUGGAGUGAUCGAAAUACGUCUUUCCAAGCUGAAUUAUACUAGUGAUCAAGCUUGAGAGUUGAGACCAUCAGAUUGAAUCAAGCUGGCCCAAGAUUGGUCUAAAAAGCUCUCUCAUCUUCUCUCUUGCAAGUCUUUCCUCGCUCGAUCAAUCAAGCUGGCCCAAGAUUGGUCUAAAAAGUUCUCUAUCAAUUUUUUUUUUUUUUCUGAAUGAAGGACAGUAUCGACAGUUUAUUAAUUUAUUUCACUGAAUAAAAUGUACACCCUUUUAGACAAAAAAAUUUUUUUUGGUGUUUUCAUCAUUUUUAAUAUAUUAAAUUCAUGGUAAUGAAAAAUUAAAAAAAAAAAGAAAGUGUGUUAAGGACUUUUGUUAACACGCUUUCUUUUGUCGUCACAACACACUUAUUUAAAAAUGGAAAAUGGUAAAGAUUCGGAGUAUCCCACUAAAAGGAUAAGUAAUUUAAAAGUUAGAAAAUAUAUUUUAACGAAUUAGUAUAUCACAUAACGGAAAUUGAAACUAAGCAGUGCGGUUAAAUACUUAAAUCAAUGUUCCAAAGUCGUGAUAUAGGAGGAAAAUUUAGUUGAUGGAAGUAGUCAAGUAGAAGUACGUAACUUCUUAUAAGUUUUACAGAAACAAACUUGGAUAUAUAUUCAUAUUUUCAUAUAUUAGUAUCUGAGAUAAAUUUAGCUAUAAUGCUCAUUUAUUAACACUUUUUAAUUAUAUAAUUAUAUUUCCAGUCUAGAUAGCCUUACGUUCACUAUCUUUUUUCUUAUAAAAAAAAAAGACACCCUUAAGAUUGAAUUGAGGAAGCAAUACAUAGUUGGUUGUAUACACAAACGAUAAACAUAUAUGUUGAAUCAUUGGUGAACAUAAAACAACUAGUCCAAUAAUUUAUUUAUUAUUUCUUAUAAUAACCAAGCACAUAAUUUCUUUUGUAAUGUUAGAUUCAACAAGAAUCUCCUCCCUCUCCACCAAACAGAAACAAAUGUUCUUUUCCCUUUCUCAAUCCAUAACAUUUGUCAUUGUCUAAUAAAUAUUCUAAUUUAGAUCUUUUACUUCUCUUGAACUUGUAACUAGAAUCAAUGACGAGAAGGUCUCGAACGCGUGCUGACGCCAUAUCAUCUUUAUCCUUUUCUGGUCGAUGACCAUUACCCAUUGGUGGACUAUUGCCGGAAGGAGAAGUCUUGACUACUCCUCCAACUCCAACAAUAUUCACACCAUCACUUAUCACAUCAAAUAGUUCCUUUGGCCAAUAACCAAUGUGUAUAUCUUUUCCUACGUUUUUUAUAUCUGAUACCCACCAAUUUCCUGUUUUUUUAUCCUUUAAUAGAUAAUUAAAAAAUACAAAUGUUAGAUUUGAUAUAUAUUAAAAACACACAGAGACACAUAAAACUAUUUAGUAAAGCGAAGAAAAAUAUGAGUUACCUGUUGAAAAUUAGAACCAAUGUUUCUUUUACCUUCAGGAGCUUCAGGUAAAGGCCCACUUAUAAGAUCUCUUUUUGACACUUGAACAAAACCAGGACAUACUGUAUUAUAACACCCUGUCCCAUUGGCACCCUAUCAUUAACAAUUCAUAUAGAUUAAUAGAAUUCUUGUGACAAAAUAUAGUUUAGCAGUAACUGUAAAUUUCUAAAAGAAGUACAUGAUUGUUAAAUAACAGUAAGGAAAAACAUAUGGCACUAAAAAUAACUAGCUAAAUCAAAAGAUUUGCCCUUAAAUUUCAUAUAUAAUUUGUUUUGAUGGUGACCAUAGAUUUAUGGAUAUUCAUUCCAUAGUUUCUAUAAGUUAUAGCUUAUAAUAUAGUAUUCUUCCUCUAUCAUUAGGAUUGGAACUCAGGAUCCCAUGGUAUUGCUCUUCCCCACGAUCUCUCUAGUACAAAUCUACCAAUACUAGGUGCUUUAGAGUAGAUUUUGAAAUUUGGUUUGUAUUAAGGUGGUAAAGAGUGAAAUGUUUAAUAGAUUUACCUUAAAAUAUCCAUAACCCCAUACGCGUCCAUCACCAAAUAAACUUGGAUUUAUCUGAGUCAAAUUAAGACAUUUUAUUCUUAAAAUCAUAUGAUUUAUCAAAAAAUAAUUAUAUAAAAAAUAUAUAUAUUAUAAACAGUAACUUACCAUCCAACCGGUUUCAAUAAAAUUAUCUAUGUUGUUUACUCGACUGCCAGCAUAUACGUGAGCAUAUGAAACUUGGUCCCGACUAACGUUUAAGUCAUGUACACUUAUAUAAGAUGCUGUACCAUAGAAAGGACUCUGACCGUUGCCUUUCAAUCUAACUCCGGCAAACUUGAAAUUCCAAAAUUUUUAAUAGGCUUAAAAAUGUGUAACUAAAGUAACUGAAAGUAGAAUAAUAAAGAUAUAAUUGAGUGCUUACAUGUAUUCCAUGACUUUGCAUUGUGAACGGAUUGAAAUGCUUUUCUCCAAAAUAUUGGGCAUUUGCAACAUACUCUUUUGUGUGUCUCAAUAUAGGAACUGUUCCGUUUGGACAAUCGAUGAUUGUUUUGAAUAUUUUGCGUUCGACUUGAUUUUUUGAUUUAGGGAUUAGAAAAGAUGGUUCCAUCUACAUUAGUCACAUAUAUAUAUUGUCACACGAUAGAUUGGUGAUGUGAGAGAUUAAAUCAUAUUUGGUUAUAAAAAGCUACAAUUAACUGUUGAGAAAAGAAAAGAUACAAUUAAGUUUUGUAUGAUAAAUUUUAGAUGAAAAAAAUACCUGAAUUUUGUGAUUUUUGAGUAGUGGAUGAUUUAGCGAAGGUUGUUUGUAAAUAUCCACACAAUCAUAUAUCAUCUUCUCAUUUAACUAUGAAAAUAAUGUAUGAGAUCGAUAUAUAUCUCAAUCUCAUAAUUUACGUAUAAAAGAUCAAAAUAAUGAUUAAUAUUAUAUACAUUAAUACAUAUUUUAACUUACCUUGAUAGAUUUCCAACUUUUAGUAGUUUCUCGGGAUUGCACAAAAGAGAAUGAGACUAGAAGUGCAAAGAGUUUGAGAAUGAAAUCCAUGGGUUACAGAUCAAUAUUUUGGAAGUUUUUUUAGUAGUAUUUUUUGUUAUACCUAUAUAUUUGAGAUCAGACACAACACUAGUAUUUAUAAUAACUAGAGAUUUUUAACCGUGGUUUGGGUUUAUAUACAUAAAAAGGUUUUUGUUAAUUUUCUAUUGGUAAACUUUAAUUUUUAAUUAAAAAAAUUAUUACUAUACACUUUAAUUGUGUUUAGUGUGUUCAGAUUUCAUAUAACUUUUUCCUCUUUUUAUUGGUCUACUCUGAUUUGUUUUUUUAAUACAUGUAUAUUCGUAUUUGGUCCACUUAGGUUUGACACGUGGCGAGUUAUAAACCGUCAGAUUAUGGGAUAUCAAAAGUCACACUUGAUUAAGAAUGGCAGGGAUCCCUUGAUUCUCUCCUUUCCACAACUCUCCCUCCAAAACAAAAAUCAUCACAACGAGAGAAAACUUUGAAAUCCAAAAAAAAAAAAGACGAGAAAUUUGAAUUUAUUGGGAAACAAAAAGAAGAAGAUCUGGAAGUUUCUAUGAACAGUAAUGGCGAAUCAAGGCGGCGAAAACGGGAAAUUGGAACGGAAGAAGACGAUGACGAUGAAUUGGGCGGGGUUAGGCGAGGUUGAAGACGACGACGAUCAUUUUUUCGAUAGCUCUAAUCGUAUCUCCACCGUUGUGCCUUUGGAUUUAGCAUCAUCUUCAGAUGAGGAAGAAGGUGAGUUUGAUGAUUGCCGGAUCUCGUUUUCUUCUAACGUAUCGUCCUCCUCUCGCGCUGCUCCUACGCCGGAUAUGUCGCCGGAUUAUGAUAUUUGGAUGUCGGCGCCGGGAUCUAUCACGGAGCGUCGUCGUCGGCUUCUUAAUGGAAUGGGACUUGAAUCUAAGAAGACUAUGCUCGGAGCUAUCUCGAUUCAACGCGUGAGUGAACCUGUUGCGGCGGCGGGUGUGUGCUCUGGUUCUCGCGUUGCGGAAGCGAAGGUGGAGGAGUCAGAUCAUAAUUCUCCGGUGAAUCAACGAGUUCAUCGAUCUCCGUCGAUGUCGGUUUUGCUUGUACGGUCUAGAUCUGAUUCCGAUAUCGAAGCGUCUUCUGCUGAGAAAAAGAGGAAAGAAGAGAUGUUAGGGAAAACGUCGAAAUCGCGAUUAACUAGAACCGCGUCUGCGAUUGGAGCUCCGUGUGCGAGAAUUUGUCCCUACUUCACCCAAACGCAAGCCUCGCCGCCGGACGCACCAAACGGUCAUCAGUCUCAAGGCCAACGUAGUGGUGCGUUGCUCUCUUCGGUAGUUUCCAAUACUCGUUUUAGUGCUUUUUUCUUGAUCAAGAAUCUUGACACUGGGAAAGAGUUCAUUGUGAAGGAGUAUGGUGAGAAUGGAAUGUGGAAUCGGCUUAGUGAUUUGCAAACUGGUAAGCAAUUGACAAUGGAAGAAUUUGAGAAAAGUGUUGGCUAUUCAUCUGUUGUUAAGGAUCUUAUGAGACGAGAGAACGCGAAUUCGACGAUGGAUUUUAGGAAAUUCAAUUCGUAUGUGUCAAAGAGUUUGAGAGUAAGUAAGAAGAGAGGAGCUGCUUUGUUAAAGAACAUAAAGGACGUUGCUCAUUCUAUGAGCUCUUCUAAGGUUUCAGAGAAAGAGAAGGAUUCAACUGGUAGUGGUACAAGUAGUCCAAAAGUAGCGGAGAAGAACAAUGAGCAGGCAAAUCAAUGGGUGAAAGUGAGGCAUUCAGGGAAGUCUCAUAAAGAUUUAAGUGCUUUGCAUAUGUGUCAAGAGAUUCAAGCUCAUCAAGGAGGUAUUUGGACUAUGAAAUUUAGUCCAGAUGCACAUUUAUUAGCAAGUGCAGGGGAGGAUUGUGCAAUUCAUGUGUGGGAGGUUCAAGAAUGUGAAAUCAUGUCAAUGAGUGAAGGGAGCUUGACACCGAUUCAUCCUUCAAUGUCUGGUUCCACGGAUAAAUCGUCUACCGAAUGUGAUGCUGCAGAAGUGUCACAGGAUAAGAAGAAAAAAGGGAAAACUUCAACGAGUAAAAAAGGAAACCAGAUACCAGAUUAUGUCCACGCGCCUGAAACUGUGUUCUCAUUGUCAGAUAAACCAAUUUGCUCUUUCACUGGUCACUUGGAUGAUGUUCUGGACUUAUCCUGGUCUCGGUCACAGGUUAGUUUACGGUCAUUUUUUGCCAACAUUAAUGAAAGCAGCCAUGAAUUUCUAUUGACAUAGUUAAUCAUUGGUUGCCAUAUAUACACAGCUAUUGCUCUCAUCUUCCAUGGACAAAACUGUGCGGUUGUGGGAUAUUGAAACUCAAAGUUGUCUAAAACUAUUUGCCCACAAUGACUAUGGUAAGAAAGGAAAUAUAAUUCAAUACUCAUAUUCCUUAAAUUUCAUAUGGUUUUGGGAAAUUCAUGUCUUCCUCUAUGGUUUUUAGUUACUUGUGUACAAUUCAAUCCACUGGAUGAAGAUUACUUCAUCAGUGGCUCCCUUGAUGCCAAGAUCCGUAUAUGGAACAUAUCAAACCGUCAAGUCGUUGAGUGGAAUGAUCUAAAGGAAAUGGUUACCGCGGUUUGUUAUACUCCUGAUGGUCAGGUACAUAAUUCUCCUGAACUGUCACCAGCAUAUACUUGCAUUAACGAGCUGGUAUUGAUAUCUCUAUGCUCUUUGGUAGGCUGCAUUUGUUGGUUCAAUUAAUGGGAAUUGCCGGCUUUACAGUGCAGAGGGUAUAUUUGCUAAAGACUCAUUCUAUUUUGAAAACCAUGUCUAUUAACCUUUAAUUCGUCAUAAAGUUAAUAGACUCAUUCUAAACUUUUUCUCUAAUGAUUGAUCAGAUUGCAAGUUGGAACAAACAAACCAGAUAGAUCUGCAAAACAAAAAGAAAGCUCAAGCUAAAAAGAUCACAGCCUUCCAGGUUUCAUUCUUUUUUUUGAAAACGUGUACAUUGUUGUUUUUUUGCCUCUAGAAGAUUCUUACUUACCAUUGAGUUUGCAUAUAACAGUUUUCUCCAAUUAAUCCAUCAGAAGUGCUUGUAACUUCCGCUGAUUCACGCAUUCGGAUUCUCGACGGUACUGAACUUGUUCAAAAAUUCAGAGGUAUGUAACUGAAACAACUCCAUUUGCUUCUUCGUUCCAUUUCACAAACUAACAUUUCUAAAUCUCCUAUUGAUACAUAAACCAGGCUUCAAAAACAUUAAUAGUCAAAUGACAGCAUCUUACACAGUAGAUGCUAAGCACAUUGUCUGCGCAAGCGAAGACUCACAGGUUUACGUGUGGAAACACGAGGAGCCACGACUAGGAAUCACCGGUAGAAAAACCGUCACCAUGUGUACUUCUUACGAAACCUUCCCGUGCAAAGAUGUUUCAGUGGCAAUCCCGUGGAACGGCGUUGUAAAAGGCGAACCACCAUCCACACAAACUCAGUCUAAAAGAAACCCAAAGAAAACUUCAACUACUACUACAACUACCCCGGAAAACGCGACCACGAGUAAAAAAUCAGGCCUCCCACCGUUACCUAAGAAAAACAAUGACGGCACCGCAGAUGGAGCAACAGAACAACAUCAAGAUGAUGAUCCCGCAACGCAGAUUCCGCAAAACGAAUCAGAGAACAACACAGGAGAGUCACUAAAGCAUGGGGAUUCACCUUCUAUAUCAAUCUCCUCUCGGAUUUCUUCUUGGUCUUGGUUUGAUAGUAGUGGCAGUCAUGGAACACAUUCAGUUCAGCCAACAGCUUGGGGAAUGGUGAUCGUUACAGCCACGAUCAAGGGCCAAAUCCGAGCUUACCAAAAUUUCGGAUUGCCCCGCAGGGUUGGUCGUCAAGGCUCUCUGUUUUGACACAACCGCGCUCAAUUAUUGUACAUAUAUACGGUGUAUUAUGUAUAGUUCUCAUGUAUUCAUGUAUAGUCAUACUGAGUUUAAUUUAAUUUGUAUACUGUAUAGUCACAAAACAAGACGAGACUUGAUAUAUAGAGAUUCUAUACUAUGAUGCGAGAGCCACAUUACCGUAUAGAGAGUCUCACACCCACACUCAAGUAGUCAAGUACUUUAACGCAUGAAGAUAAGAUACAUCCAAAAUUUGGAUUCUAAAUAGUCUAAACGUGCUCAAAACAUCAAAACUUUUCAUGCUAGAUUUAGACUAUAGCAUGAAAAUGUAUUAAAUUGGGAAAAAAAUCUGUUUGAGUAGUUGAGUUUUUUUUUUUUUUUUUUUUAGUUGAGUUUUAUGUUGGAUAAUUCAAGACUUAAAGAAGAAGUUAUCUCUUAGAAGAAGAAGCUUCUAGAGAUAAGUAAGGAUAUUCACAAAUAUGUUUUAGAUAAUGAUAAAGUAUCUAGAUAGAGUUUGUGUUUAACCAAAUCCAAAUAGACUUGGGAGAUGUUCAAGUUCUAUAUAAAUACAAGGGUUCAUGGAGAGAUGUUCCAUGAGACUUAGAGAGAAGAGAUUUAGUUUUGUGAGAGUUUCUAAAUCUAAUAAAGAAGUGUUGUUCUUUAUAUUCUAAGUUCUAGCAAUCAUAACUUUGAAUUGGUAUCAGAGCUUGAAGGAGAAGUAACGAUCGAAGACGACGAUCAAAGCUUCACGUAUCCAAGAUGGGAGACGUGGAACCUUCAACACGAACAAAAGACAUUGGAGCCCCAACGAUCCAAUGCCCUAUGUUAACAACAACAAACUAUACAGUUUGGGCGAUGAGGAUGAAGAUCUUGUUAAGUGUAAGCGAAGUAUGGGACACCAUAGAACCAGGAUCAACGGACAGAAAGAAGAACAAUGUAGCGACAGCUCUUCUAUUUCAAUCAAUCCCCGAGAGCCUCAUCCUACAAAUUGGAGAACAAGGCACGGCAAAGUUGCUGUGGGCUGCGAUCAAAUCUCGUCACCAGGGAGCAGACCGUGUUAAAGUGGCGAGACUCCAAACCCUAAUGUCACAACUCGAUCGGUUGAAGAUGGAAGACACCGACUCGGUUGAUGACUUUGCGGAAAAGAUUUCGGGAAUAGCUUCCCAAUCUGCGUCUCUCGGAAAUACAAUUGACAAAACGAAGUUGGUGAAGAAGUUCUUGACAAGUCUUCCUAGAGGAAAAUUCAUACAAAUUGUAGCUUCUCUUGAGCAAGUCCUAGACUUAGAGACAACGGGAUUUGAAGAAAUAGUAGGGAGAAUAAAAGCUUACGAUGAGCGUAUAAGGGAUGAGACUCAAGGAGAGGAUCAAAGUAAACUCUUGUUUUCAAACAAUAGCCACGGAGGCUACGGCGAAAACAGAAGAGGUUACGGAAACAGAGGAGGACGAGGUUUUGGUAGGGGCAGAGGAAACUUUGGUAGAGGCAGGGGUCGAGGGAGAUUCAAUAGCCAAGAUCAAGGAGCAACAGCUGCGGAAGAAAAACCAAAAUCGAAAAGAGAUCGUUCCAAGGUAAUAUGUUGGAGAUGUGACAAAGCGGGUCACUUUGCAUUGACAUGUCCCGAGAAACCAAUGCAAAACCAAGAAGCUAACCUAAACGAGACACAAGAAGCCGAUGCCUUAUAUGUCCAUGAAGUCGUAUUCCUUAACGAAGAUAAGGUAAUCCCUAAGAACUAUGAUACUAAUAACAACUCGAGUAUUUGGUAUUUAGAUACCGGUGCAAGUAACCACAUGUCGGGGAACAAAGAUUUCUUCUCAAGCCUAGAUGAGAACGUAAAAGGUAAAGUGAGGUUUGGCGAUGGCUCGUGUGUGAAUAUCAUUGGCAAAGGAACGAUUGUCUUUGUGUGCAAGACCGGAGAGAAAAGAGCUCUCAAAGACAUCUAUCUCAUACCCGAGCUAAAACACAACAUAUUGAGUCUUGGACAAGCAACUGAAGGUGGGUGCGAAGUACACAUGAAAGAAGACAUCUUAACACUAAGUGAUCCAUGUGGAAAGUUGCUUGUAAGAGUCACGAGAUCUCCAAACCGACUCUACAAAACCCCGAUGAAAAUAAGCAGUCCAAUGUGUCUACUUUUACGUGAUGAUGAAGAAACAUGGAAGUGGCACUCAAGACUUGGACAUGUGAGCUUUGGUGUCAUGAAUAAUAUGGUACAAAAGGAGAUGGUCGAAGGAAUGCCACGAACUCUACAUGAAAAGAGUGUGUGUGACGUGUGCUUAGCCGGAAAACAAACAAGAAAUUCAUUCCCGAUAAAAACAAGCUUCCGUGCGGCACAAGCAUUGGAACUAGUUCAUGGCGACUUAUGCGGGCCAAUCUCACCACCAACACCAGCUAACAACCGGUAUGUAUUCGUCUUAAUUGAUGAUUUUUCUAGGUACAUGUGGACCAUGUUGCUAAAGGAAAAGAGUGAGGCGUUCGAUCGGUUUAAAAAGUUUAAAGAAGUUGUGGAGAAACAAACCGGGUUAACCGUGAAAACUUUUCGCACCGAUAGAGGAGGAGAGUUUACCUCAGCUCAAUUCACUUCCUUUUGUGAAGAAAAAGGAAUAACAAGACAUCUUACUGCUCCUUACAUACCACAACAAAAUGGUGUAGUUGAAAGAAGAAACCGGACAUUAAUGGAGAUGACAAGAAGCUUACUUAAGGCAAUGAGGAUUCCGAAUCACUUAUGGGGAGAAGCUGUUCGUCAUUCAACUUACCUCAUUAAUCGAGUUCCUACUAAGGCUUUGAAGGGUCAAACGCCUUACGAGUGCUUCACGUUCAAGAAACCGAACAUAGAACAUUUGAGAGUCUUUGGUUGUAUGGCCUACGCUAAAAUCAAUGGACCACAUCUUAAGAAGCUAGAUGAAAGGUCAAGGAGCGUGGUCAAUCUUGGAACCGAGCCGGGUUCUAAAGCCUAUAGACUCUAUGACCCGGUCUCAAGGAAAGUAAUUGCUAGUAGAGACUUGGUCUUCGAUGAAAAGAAAGCUUGGAACUGGUCAUCUACAACAAGUGAAUCCAAUGGUGAACCGGGUAUGUUUAAACUCACUCGUGGAGGUAUUAUAGAUAAUGGAGAUGGAUAUGGUGAUGAUCAAGCCAAUGAAAACCAUAAUCCGGAUCAAGAUCCUAUAGACCAAGACGAAGAAGAAGAGGUAGAAGAAGAGGUAGAAGAAGAAGAACAUGUUGACAAUGCCGUGAAUCAAGGAGCAGAGAAUCAACAAGUAGUGACUAGAUAUGGCCGUACGAUAAGACAACCUAGCUACCUUGAUGAUUAUGUGUUGCUUGCAGAACAAGAAAGUGGUAGAUUACUACUUACGGUAGACGGAGAACCUGAAAAUUACUUUGAAGCUGAACAUCAAAAGGAAUGGAUUGAUGCAAUGCAAGCCGAGUUGGAUUCAAUUCUCAAGAACAAGACAUGGGAACUCGUUGAUAAACCGGUUUAUGUUAAACCUAUUGGUCUUAAGUGGAUUUAUAAGAUCAAGAAGAAAGCGGAUGGCUCGGUUAAUAAAUACAAGGCAAGGCUUGUAGCUAAAGGCUAUGUACAACAACAAGGCAUAGAUUUUGAUGAAGUGUUUGCUCCGGUGGCACGUCUCGAAACUAUACGCCUUCUCAUAGCCUUAGCNNNNNNNNNNNNNNNNNNNNNNNNNNNNNNNNNNNNNNNNNNNNNNNNNNNNNNNNNNNNNNNNNNNNNNNNNNNNNNNNNNNNNNNNNNNNNNNNNNNNAAGAAAGGUGAGGAAGAUCGAGUGUAUCGACUUUACAAGGCUCUAUACGGCUUACGACAAGCUCCUAGAGCAUGGAAUGUAAAACUCGACCAAGUCUUAAGAGAGAUGGGCUUCAACAAGUAUAUCAAGGAACCGACGGUAUAUCGGAAGAACGACAAGAAGGACGUCUUGAUUGUGGCUAUCUACGUGGAUGAUUUGUUUGUGACGGGAACCACACUUAAGGUCAUCAACAAAUUCAAAGAAGAUAUGUCAAAGAAAUUCGAGAUGUCGGACCUAGGGAAGUUAACGUAUUAUCUUGGCAUAGAAGUGAUUCAAGGAGUGGAUGGGAUAAAGAUAAAGCAAGAAAGAUACGCUCAAGGAAUUCUUAUUAAUGCUAAGAUGGAAUCGUGUAACUUGACUCAUACACCAAUGCAUCCAAGUCAAAAGAUCAACAAGUUGGAAGAAGAACCAGAGAUUGAUGCAACCGAGUAUAGACGAACCAUUGGUUGUCUUAGGUACCUCCUACACACAAGACCGGAUCUCUCCUUUGCUGUUGGAGUUCUAAGCCGGUAUAUGCAAAGUCCAAGAAAUUCUCAUGGGAUUGCGGUCAAGCAUAUAUUAAGGUAUGUAAGAGGAACAACAAACUUUGGUUUGUUUUUCAAGAGAGACGGGUCAAGGAGAAUCACCGGAUAUAGUGAUAGUAGUCACAAUGUUGAUAUUGACGACGGAAGAAGCACCGCGGGACACGUUUUCUAUUUUGGUUCAUCACCGAUUACUUGGACAUCACAAAAGCAACCUAAGGUCGCAUUGUCCUCAUGCGAAGCGGAAUCAUGGCAGCUACGGAAGCCGCGAAACAAGCUAUAUGGCUUAAAGAAUUGUUGAGUGAGAUACUAAGCGUUGAAGGCGAGAAGGUCUUACUAAGGAUUGACAAUAAAUCGGCUAUAGCUUUGACCAAGAAUCCGGUGUUUCAUGGGAGAAGUAAGCACAUACUUUCGAAGUAUCAUUUUAUUCGGGAAUGUGUGGAAGACGGACAAAUCGAAGUUGAGCAUGUACCCGGAGAGGUCCAAAAGGCGGACAUUCUUACCAAGCCAUUAGGAAGAUUCAAGUUCAAGGAAAUGCGGGACCUAAUCGGUGUUGAAGAGAUCAAGACUCCCAAAAUUCAAGUUGGAAUUAAGGGGGAGAAUGUUGGAUAAUUCAAGACUUAAAGAAGAAGUUAUCUCUUAGAAGAAGAAGCUUCUAGAGAUAAGUAAGGAUAUUCACAAAUAUGUUUUAGAUAAUGAUAAAGUAUCUAGAUAGAGUUUGUGUUUAACCAAAUCCAAAUAGACUUGGGAGAUGUCCAAGUUCUAUAUAAAUACAAGGGUUCAUGGAGAGAUGUUCCAUGAGACUUAGAGAGAAGAGAUUUAGUUUUGUGAGAGUUUCUAAAUCUAAUAAAGAAGUGUUGUUCUUUAUAUUCUAAGUUCUAGCAAUCAUAACUUUGAUUUUAUUUGUUUCUCAAAGUUAGUAUAGUUUCGGUGUUGGACUAUAAAAUAAGCAUGUCCAUACGAGCUCAUGCUAUUGCCAGCAUGGGCUUUUCUGACUAACACAUCACUAGUUUAAAACUAGAACUUAGAAGAAUGUAAAUACAUUACAACGAGUUUAGAAUCAACUGAUUAUUUUGAACAUUUUUGUAUGUUGAUUGUUGAACCCAAAAAUGGCGGAAAAAAAAAAGAUUGUUGAACCCAAUUUUUAACAGGAAAGAAAUAAAAAGCUUACAAAACAGAAUGAUGUGGUCCAAAAAGGAUAAAGUGUUUUGUCUCUCGAGGUACAUUGGACGAAGCAUAUGGUCUUUGUCCAUACCAGUUUCUUUUCUCCUUUUCUCAAUUUCGAGCUCCUACGGUAAUGGUACUCUACAUUAUAAGUAUAUAUUCUAUGUUUCUUGGUUUACAAAAAAAAAAAAAAAAAAAAAAUCUCUGUUUCUUUAUUUUCAGAUAAUUUUCUUCAUGUGUUUAUUAUUCAAUGUAGAUGACAUUAUUGCGAAAAACCUAAUUUAAACCUGAAAUUUCAAGUCGAUAACCAAAACUUCAUACAAACCAGAUACUGUUUUCUAAAUAAAUCUUGAUUUUCCUAAAUUAAACUAUAAAUAUGAUAGUUAUUGUCUUAUUGAUGCAACCAUCAACAUUAUUAGACCAGACGAUUUGGUUUGUCCAUUUACAUUGGAGCCAGUAUUAUUACUAUGUUUCAAUACUAUUGAAUAAAGUAAAAUUGUAAAUGAUAGUCAAAAUGGUUUCGUGGUGUAGUUGGUUAUCACGUCAGUCUAACACACUGAAGGUCUCCGGUUCGAACCCGGGCGAAGCCAAUAUCUUUCAUUUUUAAUAAUAGUUUCGAGUUUUGAUUAAUUACCAAAAUAAAAUAAAUCAAGUCUUCACUCUCCAAAAAGUAUGUACAACACAUCAUUUUUUCUUUCUUCAUUAGCUACAUCUUUUGUUCCUUAGUUUACUCAACCAAAUCUCUCUCUCUCUCUCCCUUUGAGUCUCAAAACUUCAAUGGCUCACCAGGUAUACUCUUAAUCCUUUCUUUCUUUCUUUUCUCUCUCGUUCUUUAACACAAUAGCCUUAUAUACAUACACACGCAUACAUAUAGAUAUGUAUACACCAUGUGUAAUGGAUGUGAUUGUGUAGGAGGAAGGAUGGCCAUUGGGUCUGAGGCCAGUAAAUGCAAGAAUCGGAGGACUCACAAGAGGAGCUCAUCAUCAUGAACAAGUCUCGGCUGGUUCAAUCUCCUUCACCUCUCUCUUGUCUCCUUCUCCCUCAUCUCACUCUUCCUCCGAUCUUGAUUCUCAGGUCAGAUAUACAUAUACACUUAUCUACUUAUAAUAUAAAUAUAUAUGCGUACACACAUACCACAUUUCAUAGAUAGACUAUAUAAUAUAUAGUAAACUAUUCACGGGUCUUGGUAGAUUCUUUUCUUGGUUGAAUCCUUACACAUCCCUCCACAAUUUCAUAUUUUAAUUUGUUCCCAUAUUCGGAUAGAUCAAUGAAUUAUUUUAAUAAUAUCAAUCAUAUUUUUUGCUUGAUAAAAUAGUUUAUUUCAGUUUUAUCUUUGUUUUUCGUUUUCUUGCAUAUUAAUUGAUGAGCCGUUUGAAACUGUCUACGGUUCUUUUUUCUUCUCAUGGAAAUUUAGAAGGAAGACAAUGAUUCUACUUUGACUACUAGUUAGGAUCUAUUGAAUUCACAUUCUCUUUCAGUUUUUUUUUUUUUUUUUUUUUUUUUUUUUUUUCGCCUCACAUUCUCUUUCAGUUUAUUAAAAUGAAAUUACUAAAAUAGUAUUGUUGUUGUUGGUUGAGAUGACUUCAGAGCGAACGUGACCCAAUUGUAUGCACUUUAAAGCUGUGAUGGUUUUGUCUGAAAAGGGCACGUUUGUCGGAAAUUGUUGAUUCUCAAAAUAAAGUUAUACUAGUAGAAAGUAAUAAUCAAAGCAAUUUCUCGAAUAUAUUGGCACCUUUUGUCUUUUGAUCACACAAUAUUAAAAAGUGAAAUCAUUGACAAUUUUACCUAUAAUACAAAGAGAAUAAUUGUGAUUACACGCAAUUUUUUUUCCAUUCACGCAAAAUUUGAAAUAUAUUGUGUUCAGUUUUCUGUCAUUCAGCCAAUUUUCUGAUUAGAAAGUUUAACAAAUAAAUUAUGUUUUAAACCUAAGGAUUUCGGCAUUUUACUCUAAAUAUUUGGUUCUACAACAGAUUUUUGUUUAUACUUAAUUUUCUCUUUUUGGUCACCAUUCACCAUCACAAUUCAAAUAUUGACCUCUUUUGUGAAGCAAACAUCGCAACAACUUUGAGAUUUAUGCUGUCCCAAAGUUUUGGUUUUUUAAGCCCGUAUAUAUACACACUAAAUAAAGCAUGUUACACAUCUAUUUUUUGUCAGUCGAUGGAAUCAUUUUUCCGCGAUAGGAGCUACACCCUAGGAAAUCUAAUCGGGAUAUCAAGCUUUCUUGAACUUUCAAGAAGAUCAAACCGAACAAGGAAUGAUCAAAGUACUGCUAGAAACCAUCAACACCAGAAGAAUCUCAAAACUUACUACAAGCCAUGGAUUUUCUCUAUAUGUUCAAAGCUAAGCACAAAUGCCACUGUCAUUUCCCACAACAGGAUUAUAAACGAAGACAAUGAUGGUCGUAACAAUGUGCAGUCUCUUGGACACUUCCUCAUGGUGGAGAGACGAGCCGUCGGAUCAACCAUACGGUCCACACCGACUAUGUGAAUGUCCGAAAGUUAAUAGCCAAUUGUGCCUUAAAAGUUAAAAAAGAUAAUGCGAUGUGUAAUAUGAUUUCCUAAUGGUCUGACGCAACAGAUUCUGAUUGUACUAUUAUUUUGUAAUUGAGUUUCAAAUGUUCAAAAACAUUUUUCUUUGCAUGAUGAGUUGCAUCAAUAUAUCAUUAUUGGGCAUUGUUGAAAGAGAGAAACUUUCGUAUCUAAAAAGGCCCAAUAAAAAUAGAAACAAUUCCUUAUAAUUAACAAACUAUUUCGUCUGGGCCCAAUGGUAGGUAGGGGUAUAAUUGGAAAUAUAGAAAGAAGCUCUUGCAAAUUACUAAACCCUAAUUCCUUUAUUUUGGAGAAGACUAUAAAAACCGAUUUCUCUCACAUUCCUCUUCUCUUUCGACUUCCCUGGCGGCGCAUUCAGAGAUUCAAACUCAGGUGAGUGAUCAUCAGAUCUCUUCGCUUUAUCGAUUUCAUACUUAGUCUCUUUCGAUUAGUGUGAAAGUUGUGGAAUCGACAAAUCUUAACGAGUUACUACUAGAGUACAUCGCGAUUUGCUUAUGAAUCCGUUUUGAGAAAUUGAAUCGUUCGUCCGUAGAAUCGAUACUGGAUUUGAGCUGAUGCUAUUAGAGUAUAUAUAGCUUUGGAUUUUAAGAGAAUAUUGCAAUUACAAGAGUAGAUCUGAGACUUUCUUCUUCAUCUUAUUAUUUUGUCAUAUUAUUUGAAUUUGCAGAGAAAAUGGUGGCGACAGGCUUAUUCGUGGGGCUAAACAAAGGACAUGUUGUUACCAAACGCGAGCAACCUCCUCGCCCUAACAACAGAAAAGGGGUAAUCUCUAAUGUUUCUUAAUCUUUAGCUCUUUUUUUCUUCUACUUAGUUCCAUAUUUUAACUUCUGUGAUUGGUUAGAUAGAAUUCUAAGGUUCAUAGUAGGAGAUUAGGUCCAGAUCAUGAGCUUCUAAGGCUCCUUGCUUUAUUCACUCUAUUUAUUGAGUCUAAUAGGAAAACAAAUCAAUGGAAUCGCUAUUACUACAUAUUAUUGAAAUUAUAGAAGGUUGUCUUCAUGUCUUUAUCACAGUAUGUUGUUAUUGUGUGUAUGAUUCUUAGUAGCCUUGUUGAAAAUCUGAUUUCACUAUUGUACACUCUUUCUAUUUGUUUUUGUUCAUUUUGUGGUAAUGUCUCUGUUUGAAGUCGAAUGUUGUCUUUUCAUUAUGUCAUUUGAGGGGUUUUCUGAUAUGAGUAUUUUUUAACCAGAAAACAAGCAAAAGGACUCUUUUUAUCAGGAGUCUCAUCAAGGAAGUUGCGGGUCAAGCUCCCUAUGAGAAGAGGAUCACUGAGCUUUUGAAGGUUGGUAAAGACAAGAGAGCUCUUAAAGUUGCCAAGAGAAAGUUGGGAACUCACAAGAGAGCUAAGAGAAAGAGAGAGGAGAUGUCUAGUGUUCUCCGCAAGAUGAGGUCUCCUCUUUUUCUCUUAUCAAACUAAACAUCAAUUAUGCAUCUAACUAAAAAGACUUUUCUCCUUCGUAAUGAAUUGCUUUUCUACUUGCUGAUUCCGCUUGGUUUUUGUUUCUUUGCAGGUCUGGUGGUGGUGGUGCAUCCGAGAAGAAGAAGUGAUGCAGUGACUCUGGUUCAGCGCUCUGUUUCUUCGAAAAACCAGUUUUCUGUUUUUAGUACUUUGCCUUAUGUUUCCGUUGGAUAUUUUGUAGCAGAGAUUAUUAAAUGUUGAAACGAAACCAUUAUGACUUAUGAGCAACUUGUCUACCGGUGUGGCUACGUCUGGUCCUACUUGGAGAUUUCAAAUAUUCGUUACAAUGAUCAUUUUGCUUAAUCGAUGUUGAUGUGCUUGAAAGUUGAAAAUGUUGGUGAUCUUUCUAAGUAGUGAGUUAAGCAUAAUCGGUCCACAAAGUUAUGAUAUUGUGAUAUAUAUAUCUAUAUUAAUAUGUGAUGAUUUAUUAAGCCUCGUGUGUUUUCUUAAGGGCCAAGCAACUUUUUAUGGGCAGUCAUCAUCAUCCGUCACAAUCAUAUAUUAUCGCCCACCAUGGCAGAUCUUUUUUUUUUAUGGGUAAAAAAAUUAAAAUAUAGACUGAUCUAUAAGGUACGACGAAAUUAUCCUUAUAACAAAAAAAAAGAAACAUAUGAACGUUUAUGGAUAUGUGUUGGUACACAUACGUGUGUUAAAUGUGGUUCUAAGUGAUUGGUCAAGUUAAAAAGGAAAGCAACUUGAGGUGCAUGGCUUGUGUUAUUAAAGGAAAUCAAAUUGUUGUACAAAUUUGAAAAUGAUUGGUGCAUGUACCAAUCACAUAUAUUAAUCCAUUGUGACGUCAAAUAUGUGAGAAAUUGAACGUAAAAGUGGUGACUAACCUAAGGCCCCGCCUUGAUUGUGGGCAACGAUUGGGACAAGUGAACAAAAAGAAAAGAAAACUUCUUUUACCAGUAAACAGACAAAGAUAAAUAUAUGUGAAUGAUCUAAGUAAGGUAAGGAAGACAAAUAAAAAUCUAAGAUGUAUUAUUGAUUAUUCAUCUACAUCCUAAUUAAUUCAGAUACUCUAAGCUCUUAAAUUCGGAUAAUUUGGAAUUUUGGAUCAAACUGUGCACAAUAAUUUUGGUUUGAGUCAGCGAAAUGUUAGGCUGGCAAAACAAUAAGGCUUGCAAACUUUAUACUUCGAAGUUUAAUCGCAUUAAUUACCUUGAAACUAUAUUUUGAUUACAAAAUCAAUUAAAAUUUAUUGAUUAAUUUUAUUUGACGAAAUGAAGGACCUAUCUAAUAAUUUAAUUAGUAUGUCAACACAAGAAUAGUAAUGUAAUUAACUAUAUUUUGUUACUAAUUGUUUAUAUCUAUAAUCAUUAGAUAAAAAAAAAAAUGUAUACAUAGGAGCUAAUUAGCUGGAGAUUGUCAAUGGUAAUGAUAAGUGUAGGCGUAGGAGUUGCAUAACGUUGUUAAGGAAAUCGUCGACAAUUUUACUUAGCCAUAUCAAAAAGGUCCCAAACUGAGGGACCCUCAUUGUUUUUUUUUCUAGGUUGGCCAAAAUUUAUAAUGGGGGAAUAACAGAAAUAAAAUUCUGGCAAAGACUAGCUAGAGAGAGGGCACACUAAAAUGGAAUUUUCAUCUUAGUUAGAAAAUUUCAUAGGACAACUAAAUAUCCAUCACAUGUACUAUAGAUAGGUCAUAGUCUGUAAAUAUUCACAUAAUUGGAUAUUUGAAUCAUGGUCGAUACUACAUUACUACUAUUACGCAGAAUAGCAUACCGCAAUGUGGAAUUUUACCAAUCUUACAGUAUUAUAAAAUUAUGGAAGAAAAUACAAUAUAUUUCAUUGAUUCUAUAUUUCUAUCACUUCAUUCCUACAACAACUAUUCUUGCACAGACUUCGGUAUGUUUUUAUAUUUACCAAUUGGAGCCUUAAGUCCAAGUACCACAACACUACACUGCCACACUAUUAAUGAGUAAACGAGAUCAGUCAAGCGAAGGAAUUACUCUCAAAAAAGUAAAAGCUGCGAAGUUACUGUAAAGAGAGAAUGAUCUUCACAGAAAACUAUACAUGGAGGCAUCUUUUAACAAAAAUUAUUUUUGCGGGUGCAAAAAAUGUAAUAUAUGAUGCUAUAAUGUACAUAUCCGGCUUGGAUUUUUGAGCCAAGAAGGUUCCAUGCGCUAGACUUGUAGUGACAAGUAGUUUUCAUUGUUAAAUUUUGUGAGUACACAUAUUGUUCUUAUACUAAAUAUUACUAGCACCAAACAACUUUAAACUUGUAAGACUCGCAUAUCAUCUUUUUCCACGUGGCCUUAAUAUGUGAUUCUUAUUAUCCUCAACAAAUAGUUACCUAUAAUAUCCCAAUUUGGAAAAACAUUAUUCAGAUUCUUGGUCCGCCUUCAAGGACUGGUUUGUACCAAUUUUACUACCUAUGUUAUGACUAUGAGUCAUAGCCUAUGACCGAAUCUAAGACUUCGAUACGAAUAAAAUAUUUAUGAAACUGAGUAUACGACCAUGAAGAUAAAAUGGAAAUAAUUCCAACCAUUCGUUUUCUUAUCCUAUGAUUGGCUGUACUAAGAACUUGUUGAAUUUAAAUACCGAGACAUAUAUAUACCCUCUCCUUACGGAAUUGAAGCAUUACAUUUGCCAAUAUAUUUUUUUCUUUGAAUAACGUCAAUAUAUAGACUUUCAACUAAAGAAAAAUUAAGUUGUAUACAUUUACUGGAAUUUAAAUUAAUAAUUUAACAAAAAAAUCUUUAAUAAACAGUAUAGGUAUUUUAGAUAUUGAAAAUGUAAAUUUUUGUUAAAAAUAAAAAAGUUGGUGAUGUGUAAAAACAGAGAGUUUAGUUGUCAGUCACAUGUUACCAAAAAAAAACAGAAGUACAGAGUUUGGGAUUUUGUUUUGGGCUCAAAUUCUCACGCGUGCAUCGAAGCGCGUGUAAUUUCAAGAUCGAAUCUCUCGGUUCUUGCGCGUGGGCUCCCACCUCCCUGACGCACCGUUACUUUUGUCGCCUAGUGGUCCGUGAUGGUCACGAGCCUCUUGCUCUCUCCCAAGGCGCGUCGUUUUUCUUGCUCAUUGUUCCGACAUUGAUUCGGUCGUCGUUUACUACGUUAGAUUUUUCAGUCUCUUUCACUACAGUAAUUAUCUGAAAUUCUUUGAAGAAAUAUUAUAUUUUAUGUUAGUACAACUAAUGGAGCUAAUUAUUUCAAUAAUGUUUUUGAAACCUUUAUAACUAGAACUACACUAAAUUAGGAAAAUAUUGAGUCGAUUAUGUUACGAUAAUGAAUUCAUGUUUUUAUUGUUCGAAUUUUCACAAAUGAUAUUUGUAAAACGAUUGAAGUCAUAUUACAUUAUUAAUCACUCGUAUAUUUUUUAGCAACCAAUUCAGUUAAAUUCAAUUGACGUCUUCGAUAAAACGGUAUACUUGAAGACUUUAUAGGUUAUAUAUUGUUUGGAACUUGGAAGUUUCCUUAAUUCUAAUUUUUAUGUGCUAAUUAAGAAUUACACAAAGAUAGCCUGUAUUAUAUACAACUUAUCGAUGUUAUCCAGUGUUUUUUUUUUUUUUUUCAUUUACUCCAAAAUUAGUCUUCUAGUUGAUAAAGCACCAUUCCUCAAAAAUCGUUGUUGACAAAAUAAAAUAAAACUAAUACUAAUAUAUUAUCUGUCUAGAUGUGUAUCUAUAUGUUAGUCAAUACUUAUUUUCCUUAUUAAUUUAACUACGGUACUAAACUAAUAGCAAUAUAUAUUUCAUACUUUGACACACAUAACACAUUAUAAUAAUUUAUCAUUACAUUUGUUAUCCUUUCGAUAUAUAAGAUGAUUAUAUUUUUAGUCGACAAAUCUUGUUUUGUCGUUUUCGAAACCGAUUUGCAUUAUCGACGAUCAUGCUCAUGCAUGCAUUGCGCAAAACUAAUCUUAUGGUAUAUAGCGGCCUAGCGGGUUGGUCUCCAGUCUCCGCUACACACAUAUACGUAUAUUUAUAAUGAACUUUAUUGAGAAAUAUUAUUUUAUAGUAGAUGGUCUAAAUAGUGAAUAAAAAUAAAUGAAUUAGGCAGCAAGACAAUAUUUAUCGGGAGUCACGAAGAACGUUCCUUUGCAGAGCAUAACGAAAUCAUUGUCCCUUAAUUAAUUACUUCAAGUAAUCUGUUCUGCACCAUAUCAUUAUAAAUCACAAUGAGUCUAUGAUUGAUGCAAUAACAGCAAGGUAAUAUACCAUUACAAUCAUUCUAAAUUAAUCACUAUCACAUAGUAAUACUCCCUUUAUUCAUAGAAAAUUGAUUUUCUAGAAAUUUCACAUAUUUUAAAAAAUAAUCAUUUGAUAAUUAUUUGUUUUUAUUAAACAUGUUUUAAUAAACUAUGAACUAUAGUAAUAUGAAACAGUUAAUUAUUUUUAAUCAUUACGUCUUGAAAUCUACGAUUUAUUAAUAUCAAUUAAUUAAAAAUAAAGAAAAAAUCUAGAAAAUCAAUCUUUGUGGAAAAAACCUAAAACACUAAUACAUCAAACUUGAAGGAACAGAGGAAAUAUAUAUUAAUAUAUAUAUAUAUACACACGUUUUCCUAUUAAUUUUUGUUUUACCACAAAACAUUUAUUCAAAUAUAAUCGUAGCAGAUAUAUAAAUCAUCACAUGUUUUCAAAAUUCUGGUAUAUAUAUAUAUAUAUUAUAUAUAUAUAUAUAUAUGUCAUGAAUAUAAUUGUUACAAAAUCAUAUGUGAUGAUUAAUGAUAUGUGGAACAAAAUAUUAACAAAGUCACAAUAAUUGAAUUUCAUUGUUGUAGUAAUGCGUGUUAAAUUGAAAUUUUAGUUCAAAAUACCUACGAAUUCGAGUAUACGUAGUUUAGUUAGAUGUUCAAAUUAAUAGCUAGCUUGUAGAUAAAGUCUCAAAUAGAUUCUUCUUUGCUUUACAUCAAAAUCAUCAAAAAGUCUAAUUAAAGUAUUCCGUAAAAGACUCUAUAAUUUUAAAAAUGGAAUAAUCAGAAAACUAUGCAAUUUGAACCGAUUACAUAAACUAUAGUUUUGAUUUGUUUAUGAGAUACUAGACUCAAAAGCUCUCCACAAUAUUUGGUAAUGACAUAUAGUUCAUAUCAUAUGCUAAAAAGAAACAUAAAAUACUUACAAGUCACAUGUACGUAGUAGAAUCGAGUCUUUAGGUGAAUAAUCAGAAAACUGUAAUUUUCUUUUUAAUAUCAUAAAUUAUAAUAGAUAAUUUUGUGACAGACAUUAAAAGUCGCCAACUUAAAAUUCCAUUUUAGUUUUGAGACAUUUUAAUUCUAAGUGUUAAAAUGUGUCAUACUUUUUCAUGGUUAUACUUAAAAUAUUCUCUCUCAACUCCAACAAAAAUAUGCAUUCUUAAUAUUAUGCCUUCUCGUAGCUAGUGAUAUGGAUCAUGAUUAUAGGCUUAUAGCUGCUGCGACAGAAAUACUUUGAUUUAUGUGCUGCAAUCUAAGUUGGUUAGAGAUUUCGAUAAACAAAAAAAGCAACAGGAGGAUAUGUAUAUAUAACCUCAUUCAAUAUUUUGAAUAAAUAAAAAUAUGUUAUAUAAUAGAACACAUUACACGCAUGUAUGAUCAUCAUACCGUCAUACUAAAAAAUGAAAAAUAAAUUUGCAAUAGAAAAAACCCUAAUUUUAAACCUAAAACACCAACCAAGAUAUCCAAACAUAAAAAAAAAAAAAAAACCAAAACUAGUAACGAAAAUGUAAUAGAAAAAACAAAAACCUAGUAUAUAGAUCGAUCGAUGUACUAACUUCAAACUAAGUACAUAAGAUCAUACCACACCCAAUAAGAAAUUAAUAAAAGCAUCAUCAUCAUCACAUAUAGAUUCCUUAGAGAGAUGAUUGAUUAGAUAUUGCUAGUAGAAGAAGAACUGAAAUUAUUAGAGACGUCACUCCACGAACUUGUUGCGGCUGCGGUGGAUGCUGCAGCAGCGCCAUGAAUAUUCCAGAGCUGUUGUUCGUUUCCAAAAAGUUGUCGAGAUAAGUUGAGCUGAUUGUUACUAUCUUCCAUUUUCACUGAAGCUAAUUGCGACGCGGUGGCUGUAACCAUAGCUGACGAAGCAGAAGAAGAGGAAAUAAGGUUAUGGAAAAUGUUCUUAGGUCGGUACUGACCCGACCCGGUAACUAAUCCGUAACCCGGAUUCUGCUGCUCCAUUUGAUGAUCAAACGGGUCUAAACCACCUAAAGGAAGUUGGUUUGUUGCCGGGAAUCUCCACUGGUCAAAACCGGUCAAAAGAGCCGCCGCUCCUCCGCUGCUUCCACCGCCUAUAUGAUAAGAAGGAGCUGAAACGGCACCGUAUUGUAAGGUGAAGUUGUCAGUGAAGUCUAUAGGAGGCAUGAGCUUGAGAGGAGGCAAAGAUGAUCCAAGUCCAAGUAUGUUGUUGUUGUUAUUGUUGUUGUUAUGAUCAUGUCCGGGGAUUAAUCCUGCGUUGUAAGAAGACAGCAACGAGCUCAGAGAAGAUGAAGAAGACGGUGGUCCCAUCUGAUUGUUAGCCAUGGCUCGGUGGUGGUAUUGGUCGUUGCUCGUGGCGCUGUCUUGUGACUUGCUGUUACCGCUACUGGUGCUACCGCCACCUCCACCUCCACCGCUGCUGUUUUUGGUUCUUUUGUUUCUACGGCAACCGCCACCGACGGGAACGCUCCUUAGAGCACCGCCACGUGUCCAGUAACGACGGCAUGCUUUGCAGAAGUGGCGAGGUUGAGUGAGACUGUAGUUGUUGAAGUAACAGAAUUUGGUGUUGGUUGAGUCACAUCUUGGACACUUCAAGGCUGUUUCAGGCAGUGGUAUGUUGGCUAGCCUUGCCCUUUCCGCCAUCGAACCUGGACGGAUUAACACGCCAGGUCCACCGGGACCACUGCCUCCACCGUUACCGUUGUUGUGGUGAAGCUGCGGAGGCGUUUGUUGCGGUUGCGGUUGCGGUGGGAGGGGGUGGUGAGGAAGAAACUGCUGGUUGAUGUUGUUGUUUCCCGUGAAUCCAACGGUGGUUGUGAUUGGUUGAUGCUAAAGAGAGGAAGAAAUGAUUCAAAAACAACACAAAAAGUUAUUAAAAUUUGUGAAAAAUUAAUAAAGAAGGAAAGAAAGAAUUAAUUUUAUGAGUAUAUUCAAAUUCAACCACAGAUAUACAAAGAUUAAAAGUGACAAAAGGAACAAGAAUAUUAUUAUCCUCUUUUCUUGUUUGUUUAAUCUCUCUUUAUGUUUUUUCUUCUUUAAAUUGGUCUUGAGUACUCUCAUAAAUUAUAAAACCAAGAAACCCAAAAAAAAAACCAUUAAGAAAAAAAAGAAGUGAAAAUCGGAUCAUGAACUUACUUGUUGUUGCCAGUUUGAUGAAUGAUCAGGAUAAGUAGGAAAUGAAGUAAAAACCAUCUUCGAUCUUUCUUCUUUGAUGAUAUCUUCUCUCUUUAGUUUUUUUUUUUUGUUUUGUUUUGUUUUUGAGCAAAUAAAGGAACUAAAGUUGUUUUUUUUUUGGUGAAGGCUUAUAUGAAGAAGUGGAGAAUCACAUCAAUAAAAACAAAGGGAAGAGCUUUAGAGAGAGAAAAGAAGAGGAGAUGAGAGCUUGGAGAAAGAUAGAGAGAGAAGGCAAAGGUAAAGGAAGAACCUUUAUUCAUAUAUAUACAUACCCACACAUAUACAUAUAUAUAUAUAUAUAUGGAAUAUGUUUGAAUAUUAUAUUAAAUAUUUAUUGAUGAGUAAAAUAUGAUUUGAGUGUGUCCACAGUGUUAUUGCGAGGCUCUUUUUGUUUUAUAUAUUAUAUACAUAUUUGCUUAGGGUUUUGGGAAGGUGGAGGAGAGUGAGUGUGUUCAAUUGCUUAACUCAUAAGUUUCUUUCUGAUUCUCUCUUUCUGGCAAUACUGCUACUUCUGUACUGUAUGUGCUAAUUAUAUAUAUUGGAAUUAAAGUACGUACUAAUUAAGCUUGACUGGUCGUGUUUCAAAAAUUAAAGUCGGUAAAAUUCAUGACAAUUUUUAUAUAUUUAUUUUUGUGUACAUAAAAAGAUACCACUAAUUAAUAACGAAAAUUAUGUCAAACAUUUUAUUACCAUGCAAAAUAUCAAAUACAAAAUAAACGGGGUUGGGUCUAGGUGAUUGGUAGUAUUCACGAAAAAAACUGCAAUUGUAAUAUCUUAGUUCUUGUAUAAGAAAAUUAGAGCUGAUAUCUAUUGCUAAAUAAAAUAGAUGAUGUUCUAUAUGUUUUUUUGCAGCUAAAUUAUGCUUUUAGUUAUGUUUAUUAUUUACAGAAGAGAAAAUUUGGUACAUUUUUCUGUUUGAAUUUUGGUACGUCUAUAUACCUCAACUUUAAUUAAUUGAGUAAUUAAACACUUAUAUUAAUUAAUCAAUAAUUAUUAAUAAACACUUAUAAAAUAAAAAAUCAAAGAGUGUCGGAAAACUCACCAAACGAUCAGAUUGUAAUACUCAGCGACGAUCUAAUCGUGAUUGAGUGGAAUGAUCACCAAUUAUUUUAUCUACAGAAUCAGCUACGAUAAAUUUGGGAAUUCAAUUAUAUAUAUAUAGACGUAAAUUAUAUCAAAAUAUCAAUAAUGAGCCAACAAAUUUUGAAGCAAAUGAUACGAUAAAUCUUAACAAAUGAUCAAGAAACAAGGUUCUACUUCUUCAAGAUCAAUAAUCACUUCAUAAGAUUUCGACUUCUUCAAAUUCGAUAAUCAUUUCAUUUCAAAAUACAAAGAAGAUCGAUCGAUAAACAAGGUUCUACUUGUUUAUGGGCCAACACUAAUUACUAGUAAUAUAUUAUGAAAUGAUUAAAUAUAUUAGAAAAUGAGUAGAUUAAGUUAAUGAAAAUAUAAUUAUAAAAUGUAAAUAAAGUAAAUUAAUUAAAACAGUCCAACAUUCUUCCAAAUGUCCCCUACCAAUUUCACUUUUCUUUCCCUCGAACCGCCGCGAUGUCUCUUUUUUUUUAGUUCCCUUUUCCAACAUAUUUCUUGUUUUUUUUUUUUGCAUGGCAUUGAGAAUUUUGAAUUUUCGUAGUACACGCGCUAUUUAUUGGGCGCGUAAAUUGAAUCUAACUAGAUCGCCUUCACUUAUUUCGGUAACCGGACCUAACCGGAAACUAAAAUCGUUAAUUUUUACAUACAGUACACCACAUAGCCAGUCGAUUCAGUUCGGCUAAGUUUGGUUUAAAUCAAUAAUUUUAAAUAAAAGUAAACCGCAUCGGUUUCUGGCGAAAUAAUACAUGAAGUUCCAAUAAAAAGGAAAAUUGGAUAAACAAACAUUUUUGUUGGCCUAUGAAUUGUCAUUUUACAGUCUCUCCCAGUUGAACAUUAAACCAGAUGUAUAAUUUUAUAGUAUACCAAUUAGAUCAUCACUUGCUCUUCUUCUUCUUUUUCUUCUUCUUGAAGAAUUUGGGAAUAGUAUCUCGGUUCUCUUGGUCAGCGAGUAUCAAUGGAUCCCGAGUUCCAGCAAACCGGGCCUGAGGUUCCAGAAGCAAUGCAAGAACUGGAGGAAGAAUGAGCAGAGCUAUGUUGAGAUUGGUGAUGUGUAGAUGAAGACGAAGAAACUCUGUUUUGUUGUUGCUUCUGUUCUUGCAUUAGUUUCAAAAUGUAAGCAUCGUCAUGCACCGAGAAAGGCGUGCUGCUCACAGCAAAGUCAAGGGGAAAUAAAAUGAGAAGAUUUCAUUCUCUGAUUAUUAAGAGAUAACAAAAUUGAUUUUGAUUUGAGAAAAUGCUGUUUAGUACCUAUUGAAGUCGAGGUGGACAAGUUGCAUAUCUUCAGAAAUCUCGAUUUCCACUACUGCGUGAGGAUUUGUCUAUAGAGUGAUUUGAGAUGGAGACAGAUAAGGAUAUCGGAGACAUGAGACAGAAACUAAGGAAGACAAGAGAUUCAAAGUACCUCAAGUAGAAUGAAUGGUAAAGUAAAUCCUUCUGCUGGGCCUUGAGUCUUCACAACCAUCUCCUGAUUUCUCGACAUAAGACUCUCAAGACUUGAAACCUGAAGACGACAACAUUUGAGAAAACAUAUAAACAAAACGUAGAAAGACCAUUAUCAUUUCAUUAAGACAACAGAAAAUGAUUAAAACACGAAGUAGAUAUGCGGUUACUACUAAAUGCUAAAUUCAAAGUAAACAGAUGCUUACAGAUUCUAGAAUACAUGCAAAAUCAAUAAUUUUUAUCGUCUCUAACAAUGCAAAACAAGAUCUUGAAUUGUAAGAGUCUUGCAUUUAGAUUUCCAUCAACAUAAAAAAAUGGAAGAGACUCACCUUUUCUCUCAACUCUUUAAGAAAAGCAGCCUUUUUUUGCACACUAUUCAUAACUUUAUUUCGAUCCAUCUGCCAAUACAAGUAUCCGAUAUCCAAAAAGAAUAGUAAAGAAGACGAUCAAGAGAGCAAUAAAACAGAAGAAAAUCGAAAGGGCAAGCUUGGAAGUUGAACCUUGACUUCUUCCACAUCCUUUUUGCAUGUAAUAGGAAGUCCUUUCCACCGGAUUUCCUUUUUAUCCCUAGCUAUAAUAUCCAAGGCCAUGAACACAUUGAGUGCAUCAUAGACUCUCCGCCUUAUGUUCUUCUCAUUAUACUAAUUGAACAUAAGAGAAUGUUGUUAUAACUUUUUAUUUUUUUCAAUAACUCAGACAGACAAUAUCAGCUUGCCAUCUCGCCGUACCUCAUUUUCAUUCAAAGGCUUCUCUGUGUUUUGCUUGAUUGUGGCAAAAUCUGAAAUGAUCUCGUCCGCAACCUGGAAUCACAAGAGCCACAGUCUCAAACAUAGGUUUUCACAUUUUCUCAUACAAUGCCGCUACAUAAGGGCAAGGCUUCUUGAAGUGAGUACUUGUUUAUAUAAAGAUCAAUUCUAAUGCAUAUUAGAUUUGAAAACUUCAAGACCACAACAAAUCUUUGGGCUAGAUAAAAACAACUCAUUGUUUACAUCACAAAUUCUUUAAUGAAGAAGAGAGUUUUACCUCUUUGUAUGUAGUUAUCUUCUUGGCUUCCAACUUCUGACAAACUGAGAAAAUCCACAUGAAUGUGAAGUUGAUCAAAACCAAUACAAUACUAAAUACUUUUAACUCAGCAAUACACAAUACUUAAAAGGUGCUUUUGCAGUAAAGGAAAGAGAGAUAUUCACUGACCCAUCACACUGAAUUGGCGAAGCCCACCUCCAGCAGUUCUUGAUUGCCCUUUCUUCUCUGAUCUUUUUACACCACAAUACAGAUCCAACACAGACAUUUUAGCUCAAACUCAAAAACACCACAGACUCGUGGGUUGUGAGUACAAUAAUUAACAAAAUAUAGACUGACCCAAUUUCAGAAUCAUCAUCAACUAUCAACUUCCUUCUCACUGGAGUUUUCUCCAAGCUCACAGAAGGAUGUUGUCUCUGCUUCUCUGGAGUGGCAAACAAAUCCAUCUCCAUACUCAUACAAAAACGUUCUCCUUCUGUACACAUUUUAACCAUCAUCAAAAGCUUUUAGUUGCUCAUGAAUCAAAUCAAUCGUUGACUAAAAUCAACGGACACAGAAUCUAAAAAAAACCCUCGAUUGUUUAUAAUCUGUGCAGCUCCCAUUUCAAUUUUUACCAUAAAGAACAAACAAUCAGGAAAAAAUUAAGAAAUGGGUAUCAAUCAACCAGUGGAUUAGAUCUAGCGAUGUGAAGAAACCCUAGCCGGCACAGAGAUUAAUAAGCUGUUCAAAAGACGUAAUCAGGACUAAAGACGAACCAGUGAUCCUCCAAAGGCGGAAAAAAACCCUAGAAAAUUUUGGAGAUUUCUAGGGUUUUGUUUUGUUCACAGAGAUGCGAACAAGACAAAUCGGAGGUGAAGAAAUAAGUGAGAGAGUUCCCGCUAUAAAAACAACUGUAACAAACGAAGAAUUCUCAAUAGCCCAUCAAAGGCUCAACAAAACCACACAAACGCUCAAGCGUUACCCUCAACGGCGUCGUUUUGCUUUAGCGGGUCGUAAUUAUUUCUAACUUAGCCCAUUGGGCCCAUAUGCUUAAAACCAACCAAACACGUAUCUUUCUUUUAUAAUCAUCGAUGACUUUUCGUCUAUAAGACAUGGUCCGUAUCACCACCUUGUAACUAUAAAAUAAAGACAAACUCCAUAUUUUUAAUUUGUACUGCAUAUACUGUUUGUUUCUUUUUCUCCCAGGUAUUGAUUUCGGGUUCUCAAGGCUUCUUGAGGAAUUGAUCACAUGUUCAUGAUCGGACUCUGAUGAAUCAAAACCGUUGAAACGAAGAAAGAGUAACGGGAAUCCGAAACAAAAACUCUUGUGAAAGAGAAGAUCCAUCCAAUGAUCUAUAUUAAUAUUGAGUUUUAUUAUCAAUAUGAAAAAACAACAACCUUAUUGACAUGCAGGGAAUUGGGAAAGAAGAGAGAACAGUAAGCUAAUGUCGUAAAUACAUAAUUCAUUGUUUCUAGCAAUUAUUUGCUUGGACAAACGGUAGCCUGUGGGGAGUUUGUCUUUGCCAAUUGUUUCCUUAAGAUACGAUACAAACGGUAGCGCUCCUCGAAUGUGGGGGGGAGUAUGUCUUGGUAGAGACGACCACUCAACUGCCAAAGGCAAAUCAUCAUAGAGUGAGCUAAAGAGAGGAGAAAAUAAAAUUAGAAAAGAAAAAGAGAGAGAGAGAGAGAGAUUUACUCACACAGGAUCCUGGAGGAGCAUAGCGACGCUUACGCUUAAUGGGUUCCCCAAGUUUCAAUUCAAUUCCUGUAAGCAGGGAAAAAAUAAAAAAUAUGGAGGCGAGAUUCAACAGACCCAAAGGAUAAACAAAGAACACGAAAAUAUCUAACCCCAGAAUUCCUUCAUUCUCCCGUCGAGGUUAUAGAGAUACUCGUCUCAUAUAAAUACCUACCAUAAUGACCUAGCUCUAAUUCGAUAAUUGAGUUGGGUUAAAAGCCCAUCGUAACAGUAACCCAAACAAAGACACGCACGGUCCACUUGAAUUUUUCUCUAAUUUGUUGACAUUUGGCAUCUGAAAUGUGGUAUCUCUUUUUAACAUAUUUUUCCAAUGUUUUUUAAUCAUUAAAAUUAUAUUAAAAAAAAAUCAAAUUACUUUAUGUUAAAGCAAAUGAUUUGAAAGUUUAUUUAAAUUAAAAUAAUAUUUUACAGAGUAGUUUUAAACGUGUUAAAGAAAUAUAUAUUAUCACUAAAUCUAUAAAAAUAAUUCUAAUUAUUACACAUUGAAGCUUUAUCAUAUAAAUUUUUAAAAUCAUAUACAAAGAUGGGAUAGAUGCAUAAUUUAUAUGGUAAGCUUGAAAGCUUUAGUUUACUACUUUUAAAAAUUAAGUAAUGGCAUACUUUCUCUGGUGUUAUAUAUUUUAGCCCUUCUCACCUAUAUAUAAUUAAUUUUGCUCCGUUACAUACAUGUUGGAAUCGUUUUUUGAGACUGCAUUUUGGUUAUUGGUGGUGGAUUGAUGUUAUUCAGAUGAACCUGAGACCACUUCUGUGUUUGUUGGAGAGGUAACAAGGAAGACGGGGUUUAUUCUUUAAUUGAUGAAUUGCAUUAACAAGUCGUUGAAAUUCAAAAUUUAUUGUCGUAUUGCUUAAGUUUGGAUCUUCUCAUUGUUGGAUCGUAUAACGUACAAUUAGUAGACCCAUUAUUGUGCAGUCGUUAAAAUAUUCCUCUUUUUAUUCAAAAUUACAGUUUGUGGAUCCAUUACAUUUCUUAUGAUUUAAAUGUUUGUGACUUGUCAAUUAAUAUAAAUAGUAAUGCGUUUUUCCCCUAUUAUCAGUAUGAAUUUAAAUUACUAACAACUUAACAAGGUAUUGCAAAACAUCAGUUUUCAGAUAAAACUAAUGCUAAACCAAUAGAUAUCAAUCUAUUAACAACAUACAAGAUAAAUCCUAAAUUGAUUUAUACUUGUUGGUGUCGGAUCCCGCACCAGAAGUACGAGACCAACCAAAGAUUGCCACGUAAUCAGGAUAAUGGCCCAUAAAGGAUGAAGCCCAUUGGACCCGCGAGCCGAAAGGAUGGACGAAGUGGUUGUCACCAUUUAGAUAACCCGAAGUGACUGCACUAUGACGCGAGUUCGGUGUAGAAGACACGGGUAAGUCGGUUCGAAGACAUUUGGGCCAGAAGAGGCGAGGCCCGUGAAGAUCAGAGUCAACUCAAAUUCAAACGUUGAGCAUUAAAGCCGAAGAAUCAAAACGGACACAUUUAAGAAGGAAUAAUUGUACUUAAUUACUCAUUUUAAAUGUCGUUUAGCUAUGUAUAAAUAUAGAGGCCAGUGGCCAUGUAAAGGGGGGACCAUCUAAAAAAAAGAGAGAAAUAAUAUAGCAAUUUUCGUAUCAAUUUACAAGUUCUUACGUAUUCAUUUUUGUCCCUCAAGAAUAAUCUUUCCCAUUUAACAAAAUACUUGAGUGUGUGAAUCCGACUUCCACAUUUUGGCGCCGUCUGUGGGGAUAUCAGGAUUCUUGAGUGGGCAGAUUUCUUCUUUUCUACAUUUCCGAGAUAAGCGACAAUGUCCGGAGGAGACGCCGUUGAAACAUCAUUGGCCGAAACCCUCAAAGCUAUGCAGCAAACCAUGUCGGACAUAUCACAAAAGUUCUCGGAUGUGGAGAAGGCCGUCGAUACGUUGCAAACAUCCCAGGUAUCUCUUAGUCAAAACGUCAAUAAUAUACAAACUCGUGUUCGCUCUUUAAGUGCAGGAAACCCGGUGGGAACCCGAAGAGGGAUAUUCAACUCGCCAAGUUCCGCUGCACGAAAUGAAACCAGCGGACAAACAACUCCCGGUGCUACAAAUAAUGUAGCUCAGACGUCGGAAGAAGAGACGCAGCUCGGGGAUGAAGAACAAUUUGCAGCUCAGUACGAGCAGGAGAACCUCGACCAGUUCGAGACCAUGAAGAAGGUUAGCCAGGAAUUAAAAGAAAUGAAAUCAAAAUUUCAUCAGGCUACAAGUUCGGAGCCAGACAUUAAUCGAGUCAUUGAAGAAGCAAGGCGAACCCCUUUUAUCCCGCGAAUUGCAAGUUUGAGGAUCAAAGAUUCCCGGAAGCUCAAGUUGGACCCUUACAGCGGAUUGGAGGAUCCAAAAAGCUAUCUUGCAGCCUUUCUGAUCGCUGCAGGAAGAGUCGAGUUGGAUGAAGCUGAUGAAGAUGCAGGCUAUUGCAAGCUGUUUUCGGAGAAUCUAUGUGGCCAAGCUCUAAUGUGGUUCACCCAAUUAGAGCCGAGUUCGAUCAGCAAUUUCGACGAACUGUCAGCCGUGUUCUUAAAGCAAUAUUCUAUCCUUAUGGAUAAAAGCGUUUCGGAUGCCGAUCUUUGGAACUUAACGCAAGGAUCUAAUGAGUCACUUCGAGUUUUCAUCACCAAAUUCAAAGGGGUGCUAUCAAAACUCCCAAGAAUCUCACAGCAAUCAGCUUUAUCUGCCCUACGAAAAGGAUUGCGACAUGAUUCAAGGUUUAAAGAAGACUUAAUACUUCAUAAACCAGACACAAUUCAGGAUGCACUCUUCCGCGCAAACAAUUGGAUGGAGGUAGAAGACGAAAAAGAAAGUUUUGCCAAGCGGAAUAAACAAGAAAAGCCGGCAAUCACCGUCCCUACCAAGAAGUUCGAGCCUAAAGAGAGCAAAGGACCAAGGAAGUUUGGGUCGCAACCCUUCAACAAUUCUGUCGGGAAGCAAUUCCAAGGGAAAGGAAGAUCAAACACUUGGGUCCGUGAUGAAAGUCUAUAUUGCGACAUUCAUAAAGUAACCGGACAUUUAACCAAGGAUUGCAGCGUUCUUAAAAAGCACCUCGCAGAGCUUUGGGCUAGUGGUGAUCUUUCUAAAUUCGAUAUAAAAGAUUUUGUGAAGGAGUACCACGAAGUAAAGGAAAACUCCAAAGAUCAGGAUUCCAAAAGACCAAGGUUAUCCAACGAGGAAGAACCGAGAAGUUCUAAGGGGAAGAUCAAUGUGAUUAUAGGAGGAUCCAGAUUUUGCGGAGAUUCAAUAAGUUCAAUCAAAAAGCAUCGACGAAAUGUCUCACUCAAAGCAAGCUUAAGCGAAGAAGUCGAUUUUCAAGGUGCAUCAAUAUCAUUCGAUGAAAAAGAAACACGGCAUCUCGAAAAACCGCAUGACGAUGCUCUAGUCAUUACUCUUGAUGUCGCAAAUUUCGAAGUAUCAAGGAUCCUUAUAGAUACAGGCAGUUCGGUCGACUUGAUCUUUUUAAGUACUCUAGAAAAAAUGGGAAUCAGCCGAGGAGACAUAGUAGGACCUCCAUCUCCGUUAGUUGCAUUCACAAGCGAGUCAUCCAUGUCUCUCGGAACAAUCAAGCUCCCAGUCCUUGCCAAGAAGGUAUCGAAAAUCGUGGACUUCGUUGUCUUCGAUAAGCCCGCUGCUUACAACAUCAUCCUCGGGACUCCCUGGAUUUAUCGAAUGAAAGCAGUCCCCUCUACGUACCAUCAAUGUAUCAAAUUUCCAACAUCAAAUGGGGUGGAAACAAUUCGGGGAGAUCAAGAAGCUUCACGAACUUGUUACUUAGCUAGCCACCGUAUGAAGAUUCAAUAGCAAUUAGCGAAGCCCGCAAAAGAAGGACUAAAAACCAAAUUUCCUAGUGGGCAGAAGAAAGAGGAUGUGGUAGUCGAAGUGGCACUGGAAGAAGACAAGCCGGACCGGAAAAUUAGAAUUGGAGCAACCUUGACUGGCCAAAUAAAAGAAGCUUUGAUCGAACUCUUAAGGAAAAACAAAGCGUCGUUUGCAUGGUCAGCAGCGGAUAUGCCGGGUAUAAAUCCGGGUAUAAUUUGUCAUGAACUAAACGUAGAUCCAAGCUUCAAACCGGUGAAACAAAAAAGAAGAAAGCUUGGGGUCGAGCGGGCAAAAAUAGUAAACGACGAAGUGGAUAAACUCUUGAAGAUAGGGUCCAUAAGAGAAGUGCAAUAUCCGGAGUGGGUAGCAAACACUGUCGUUGUCAAGAAAAAGAAUGGGAAAGAUAGGGUUUGCAUCGACUUUACUGACCUAAAUAAAGCGUGUCCCAAAGAUAGUUUCCCUCUCCCGCAUAUAGAUCGACUUGUAGAGUCCACCGCUGGAAAUGAGCUGUUAACGUUCAUGGACGCCUUCUCGGGUUAUAAUCAGAUAAUGAUGAACCCCGAAGAUCAAGAAAAGACGUCAUUUAUCACAGAUAGAGGUAUUUACUGUUACAAGGUAAUGCCUUUUGGUUUGAAAAAUGCAGGAGCAACUUACCAAACGGUUGGUGAACAAAAUGUUUCACAAUCACCUCGGGAAGACUAUGGAAGUCUACAUAGAUGAUAUGUUGGUUAAAUCGUUGAAGAAAGAAGAUCAUGUUAAGCAUUUGGAGGACUGUCUCGAUAUUCUCAUUAGAUAUCAGAUGAAGCUGAAUNNNNNNNNNNNNNNNNNNNNNNNNNNNNNNNNNNNNNNNNNNNNNNNNNNNNNNNNNNNNNNNNNNNNNNNNNNNNNNNNNNNNNNNNNNNNNNNNNNNNAAAGAGGGAUUGAAGCCAAUCCAAAUCAAAUUAACGCCUUUCUAGACAUGCCAUCUCCGAGAAACUUCAAAGAAGUACAACGGUUGACUGGGCGAAUCGCGGCCUUGAAUCGUUUUAUCUCGAGAUCUACAGAUAAGUCGUUGCCUUUCUACCAAAUUCUAAAAGGGAACAAAGUAUUUCUUUGGGAUGAGAAGUGUGAAGAAGCUUUUGGGCAGCUUAAGGCAUACUUAACCACUCCACCUAUACUGUCCAAACCGGAAGUGGAUGAAAAACUCUACUUAUACGUUUCAGUUUCAAACCACGCGGUUAGUGGAGUCUUGGUUCGGGAAGACCGUGGGGAGCAGAAACCAAUUUACUAUGUGAGCAAGUCAAUGACGGAUCCGGAAACCAGAUACACAAUGAUGGAAAAACUUGCACUCGCGGUGGUAACUUCGGCUCGGAAGUUGCGUCCAUAUUUUCAGUCCCAUCCGGUUGAAGUAUUAACUAACCAACCACUCAGAACAAUACUUCAUAGUCCAAGUCAAUCCGGACGUUUGGCGAAAUGGGCGGUGGAAUUAAGCGAGUACGACAUAGAGUUUAAAAGCCGGAUCAGUAUGAAAGCUCAAGUCUUAGCAGAUUUCCUGACCGAACUACCAAUACCUGGAACGAUAGAUCAACCGGAGAACCAAACUUGGAAAUUACACGUAGAUGGGUCUUCAACAAAGCAAGGAUCCGGAGUGGGAAUUAGGUUGGAAUCUCCGACAUCAGAAAUUCUAGAACAAUCGUUCCGAUUGUUAUUCAAUGCCUCUAACAAUGAGGCAGAAUACGAAGCCCUUAUUGCCGGACUUCGGCUAGCACAAGGAGUUGGAGCUAAGGAAAUAUUGGCUUAUUGCGAUUCGCAAUUAGUAGCUAACCAGUUUAAUGGAGACUAUGAAGCCAAAGAUUCAAGAAUGGAAGCUUACCUCGAAGUGGUGAAGGAUUUAUCUAAAAAUUUCUCGAAAUUCGAGUUAAUCCGCAUACCUCGCGGAGAGAAUACAACUGCAGAUGCACUCGCCGCGUUGGCGUCAACAUCAGAUCCUGAGUUAAAGAGAGUUAUUCCGGUAGAGUGCAUCUCGGAGCGAAGCAUUCAAGACAGCAAGGAAACCCUCGUCGUUACAAGGUCUCGAGCAGCGGCACGUGACCAUGGUGAACCAGAGAUCGAACCGCCACCCAACAAACGCAGGAAGUCAAAAGGAUCAAAUACAUCUAACAAGGAACCUGUUGUCUUAGCUGAAGAAAUGAUUCCAGAAACGAUGAUAGAAACCGAGCCAUUACUCGAGGAAAAUAUUCUUGAACCAAACGAACAUCCCGAACCAGAGCCGCGGAUAUUUCACAAAGUUGACCAAAUUCCGGCUAAAGACUGGGGGGCUGACUGGAGGGAGCCAAUAAAGCACUACAUCACGACAGGCGAGCUCCCAAAGAAUAAAUGGCAGGCCAGGAAAAUGAAAGUCGUUAGCGCGAAAUUUUGCCUAUCAAAAGAUGCGUUAUAUAGGCGAGGUGUUAGUGACCCUUACCUACUAUGCAUUUUUGGGCCCGAAGUCGAAAUCGUCAUGAGCGAAGUGCAUGAGGGAUUAUGUGGAAGUCAUUCAUCAGGAAGAGCUAUGGCUUUUAAAGUUAAAAGAAUGGGGUACUUUUGGCCCACUAUGAUCACAGAUUGCGUUAAGUUCGCCCAAAGAUGCAAGCGCUGCCAACUCCAUGCGCCAUUAAUCCAUCAACCGUCGGAGUUAUUCUCUUCCAUUUCCGCCCCAUACCCGUUUAUGAGGUGGUCGAUGGACAUCAUUGGACCAUUGCACAAAUCAACUCGAGGUGUACAGUACCUUUUAGUCCUCACGGACUACUUUUCGAAAUGGAUUGAAGCUGAGGCGUAUGUCGGUAUCAAGGAUUCGGCGGUAAAGACUUUUAUUUGGAAAAACAUUAUAUGUCGACAUGGAGUUCCGUACGAAAUAGUCACUGAUAAUGGACCGCAAUUCAUUUCACACGAGUUUGAUGCCUUUUGUGCGGACUGGGGAAUUAAAGUUAGUUAUUCUACUCCAAGAUAUCCGCAAGGAAACGGUCAAGCCGAAGCCGCGAACAAGACGAUAUUAAGCAAUCUCAAGAAACGCUUAAGUCAUCUAAAGGGAGGAUGGUAUGAAGAACUCCAACCCGUCCUGUGGGCUUAUCGUACAACCCCUAGGCGACCUACAGGAGAAACUCCAUUCUCUUUGGUUUAUGGCAUGGAAGCGGUAGUACCAGCUGAACUCAACGUGCCCGGACUUCGUCGAACGGAAUCACCGUUAAAUGAGGAAGAAAAUUCAGCGAUGCUUAACGAUUCACUGGAUACCAUAAAUGAAAGGCGUGAUCAAGCUCUAAUUCGGAUCCAGAAUUACCAACAGGCAGCAGCCCGGUAUUACAAUUCUAAGGUCAAAAGUAGGCCGUUCUUCGUGGGAGACUAUGUAUUAAGGCGUGUAUUUGACAACAGAAAAGAAGAAGGCGCCGGUAAACUCGGUAUUAAUUGGGAAGGACCUUACGUUAUUACCGAAGUGGUUCGGAACGGUGUUUAUAGGUUAAAAGACCUAGAAGACAAUCCAGUCAAGCGACCUUGGAAUGUGAUCAACUUAAAAAAGUUUUAUGUUUAAAAGCUACAUGCAUUGUUUAUGUACAUGAACUACGAUUUGGCUUGAUCCCGAAAUGGGUACGUAGGCAGCUCGAAAACGAGUUCAGCUAUUAAUAAAUUUUUUUUUGUUUUAUUUCUUUAUUAAAGGAAGAAGGUUCGGCUAUGCGAACAUACAAGAGAUUGGAAAUAAAGCGUUUACAAAAAAAAAAGGGAGGCGAAGUGUCCCUCAUCGUACACUUCGAACUACGAAAUCCUCGUUGACGAGCAGAACACUUCAAUUCCUUGACCAGCAAGAUCGAGGAUUGACAUCAUGCAGUCCGGAAUUCGAGCAAAGUCGGAGAUUCCAAGCUCAAUCCACUCUCCGGGGUGAGAUUCAAGAAUGUAAAGAUUUCUUGACACCGUAGUAAGUCUGCGUUGCAUCCGGUUAAUCCUCUUCCGGAGUCUCCUCUUUUCCGACGUAAGCUUCCGGUGUUGAAGUUCAAGUGUUUCUAUGAACGCCGUCGCUGUUCCUUGGUCUCUGACUGAGAGAUUCCUGAUCAAAGCACAGGGGGCUCGGAUCUGAGAUCUCGAGAAGCCGCGAAGUGGAGGAGGCUGCCUGUUGGGCUCACUUGGAACAUCUUCAUUCAUCAUUCCGAUUCUGGAGAAGUCGGGCAUAGAUUCUGAACAGCGUAGAUUGAACUCCAUGCCUGCUAAAAUAAAAAAAUGGUGAGGAAUAAAGGGGGGUUGAACCUAUAAUUUAUAGGAACCCCAUAUCCCUAGCAAGCUACGGAUUCUAUCCAAGUAAUGGAAUGAUUCGCGGAGAGAUUUAUGCCCUCGAACGGAUCCUGCAUUAAAAGAUGCAUCUCGAAGAGUAUUUGGAAAAGAAGGAAAGUAGCAAAUAUUUCCAUAAAUAAAAAAGGGCCGAAGCCCAUUACGAGUUUUUGUUUUAAAAAAAAAAAGAGAAGAGAGAAGCGAAGAAAUUGGAGAACAUUUAUGGGAGAGGCUCAGGAACAGGCUCCUUCAUCGCCGGUUUAGUCCUCGAAGUGGACGCCUUGUUUUUGGCAUCCACUUCGGAACGAUCCCGAAGGCGUUUCCGGCAGUCGCUGGCCUCCUCCUCCAAGUCCUCUUCCUCUUCAUCGUCGGAUGGAGUGACGAAGACGGGGGCGUUCGCAGGGCCCGGGAUCCCUCUAGCGCGGAGAUACAUCCGAAGCAUCUUCGGGAUCUCAGCAACGGAGUCGAAGUUCCGCCACUCCCAUUGAAAGGGGUCGCUUUCCAAGGCCCGUAUCUUCCUCUCCACUCGAGCGAUGCGAGCCUCGAGUGUUUGCCUUUUGAGGCCCAGCCGCUGCCUCUCUUCACAUAGCCGGCGGUGCUUGUCGGCGACCUAACAUAAAAGAGUGAAUAAUAUGAAGCAAAAAGUUUUUAAGCCAAAAACUUUAAAUAUUUACCUUAUCGAUGAAGUCGCAAGCCUCUUUCUUCUCCUUUGAAGGGAAGUGAAAGACGGCGUGAGGAAAGAGAACGCCGGCCGGUUCAAAGCCGUCGCCGGAUAAGAAGAGGGGACUGCCGGGAGCGAUGGGGGCUACUUCUUCGUUUUCCAUCCUUAGAAUAUUUCUCAAGUGAGAUUCUAUAGUCAUGUUUAAUAAAGCCUAGAGGUAGGUAAGCCUUUACUUAUAAUGAUUUAGGGUUUGUCUUGGAAACAUAAAUUCAUUAAUGAUAGCGUGCCCAAGUGGUUUAAACCAUUUUUGGAAAAUCGAGAAAAGGCAAUUAUUACAUUAAAAGACGCGCCGUUCUCUUUAAGAAGGGAAAAAGCAACCGUCGCAUCAACUGCAAAAGUUUCUAAGGCCCAAGCCUAACAAGUUUACCGAGUUGACUAAACCCGAAGUGGGGAACUCGCUUUAAGCCGAGCUCAGUUCUCGCAUUCUAAAGAGAAAGGUCUGAUCAGCCUAUAAAAAUCUCGAAAGCAUUGCCACAAGGCCACAAAAGGUUAAAAGCGGACUUUGCAAACCCGCAUUUAAUUUUAACCAAGCCCCCUUGGGUCACAACCUAGAAAGGUUUAAAAGCCUCCUCAGGCAAAUAUCUUGUUCAAAAGAGAAUAAUAAUAAAGCCUCCUUAGGCAAAAAUAAUUGUGAAAUUAAGUCUUAAAAAUAAAGGGACAAUCCCCAAGUCAAAGUGGACACAGCCACUACGGAGCAGCAGCUACCUCGGAGUCCGGCUCAACAGUCGAAGCUUCAUUCACGUCCUUGGCAGCUGCUUGAUCAGAUGAAGUUUCCUGACCACCCUCCACGGUACAACCAACCUCCGGAGUGACCUCCGACACCAUAGGAGCUACGGGCGGGACAACGUCCUCCGCCCCACUUGAGCCUAGGAAUAAUAAUUCCAGUCAACCAAAGGUGCAAGAAAAGGAAAGGUAAUAAAUGUCAGGAGCCAAGCAUUACCUGCCCAGUCUAGACCUGAUUCGCUUAUAGGAGGCGAUUCGGUGAAGAAUUCCUCGAAGUCCUGAGGGUUGAAGGUCGAAGUAGGAAGAGCUGCCAAGCGACUUCGCUUUUCAGAAAGAUUAGCCGAUAGUUCAGUUCUCUCUUGAUCCUCGGAGAAAUCCGCAUCAUGGAUUUGAUCCAGCAGGAUCAGGUUGCUCUCGUGCUCCUUGAUGUCAGAUUCCAGGUCAGACCUAGCCUUCUCAGUCUGCAUGAAUCGGAUGGCCCCUUGGAUCAACUCCAUCCCGCGUCCCUUGACCUCUUUUCUGGCUUUUGACGCCGACUUCGCCAACUCGGAGUCACGCAAUUUGGCGAUCGCCUUGUACUUCGCGUUGAGCUCGAUGAGUUGGUUGUUCAGGGAAUCAGCGUUUGAUUCAGACUCUUGCAGCCUACCUUGAAUACCAGAAAACUCUUCCUGGAGUUUGAAGUUCUGGUCGUACUGACCCUGCAGCUCCCCCUUUAUUUGCGCAAGCUCGGAUGUUAAAUUGUCGACUUUGUCCUCCAGAUCAUGCUUGGAGCCGGCAGAAGAACUGAGUUCGGCCUCAAGGGCGGAGAGUUUCUUCGUCAACAUGUCAAUCUCCUUCUCCCGGCCAAUGACCAACCCUUCGUAAUGUUCGAUCAUGUCGUUAAAUUUGCUUUGAGCCUGGCGUUAUACAUGAACCCGGGAUGAUAAGUCAGUUCGCAGAAUGGCAAUACAAUAAAAAAUAUACAUAAAAGAAAGCGGGACUAACCCGAGAUGAGUGAUGCGCGUGAAGCAAAUAACGUUCACGAAUCGCGGGGCGCCAUUUGUUGAAAUCUGGCAAGAUCGAACCAGAACGGGUCUUGAAGCAUCGGAAGACGCUGCCUUCUGUCUCCAUAGCUGCGAAGAAGGAAGAAUUGUAAAAAUUGGAAUUUUAAUAAAGACGAAGGUUUAAGUGUGUGUAAAUCACCAAACCUGAAAGCGAUUUGACUUGAGGUACAAGAGCAGGCUUCAGCCUCGAGGGAGCAUCUCGAGAUUCAGAAUCUCCUUUUUUCGGAGACGCGCUCCGGGCGGUCUUUCCACUAUCAGGCUGGGAAGAAGAAGACAUGUCAACCGGUCGUGGAGGACCCAUUGGUUCAGAAGGAGGGGAUGACCGAGGUGAGCGGUCAGUCCGGGUCCUUGACUUUUCCCUCUGCGGGGAAAGAUCACUACGAGAGGACCUGUCUCUCUUUCGGCGAACCAAGUUCUUAAUUGGCUCGUUACUAAAAUCAUCCCGGGAAGGACGAGGUGAAUCACGGCGAGGAGAUCGAUCCCUCCGAGGAGAACGUGAGUCGCGACGAUCUCGACGAGGAGUUAAUCUGAAGGAAGCAACAGAUCGAGCUCCCUCAGUACUGCCAUCAUCGACCAGCAAGGUCCUACUAUAGUCCUUCUUGUCAAUAGAAGUCGCGAGAAACUUUUUCUUCUCUUCGCAAGCUUCAGCCAUCGGCUUGGAAAGCAACUUUCGCUUGGCCGCAAGGGCCCGAGAUGACAUUCCCUGAGUUGAGGGAGGGGGAGGAAUUUGGUGAAGAUGACCAGGCGGACUCAUCCUGAGUCUGUGGUUAGCCUCUAUGAAUCGUUCGAGAGUGAAGGAAUUCCAAAGGGUUUCCCCUUCAAGAAUUAUUUUGAAGAAUUCGAUGAACUCUUCAGAUGGGAGAUUGGAAGCGAUGAAAGCUGCGAAAUGAAACAACGAUGUUAGUUAAUAAAGAUAGAGAAACAACCGGGAAAGAUACGGGCGACCUAAUCUCUACCAGGUUUCGCCGACCACUUCGAAGGGAGGAAAUCUGCAAGAUUUCCAACCGAAGCGGGAGUUUUCUUAAUCAAGAACCAAGGAUGAUGCCAAUUUUCAUCCUUGUUUGGAAGAUGCGAAAUGAUGUUCCUGUUGGCGUUAGGAUAUGCUGAGAAAUACCCCGUUUUCUUCGACGAACUUCUCACGCUUAGAAGCUCAUUUAAUUCGGCAACUCCGAUAACGUAACUGGCCUCCGCCGCGAUUGUUAUAAUGCCGAGAAUUGUGCGGAGAAGAUUGGGGGUUAAUUGAGGAAGAGCGAUUUCAAGAGCCGCUAGGUAUAAAAUUAGGGCUUCGGGAAGAGGAAAGGUAAGCCCGCAACCCUUGAAAUAAAUCUCAUACACACAGAAGUAACUAUUGCGAUGGUUCUCUGGAGAUUCUGUGGGGGAAGCUAUUUGUGCUUCAACCAUGAUUUCCGGCGGAAUCCGGCAAAGCUCUUUCAACCGCUCUAGGGAUUGAAGAGUACAAGUGGACCUAUAGUGCGGACCGGCAAUGUCACCAGGGCGGGUGCACUCAUCGUUACUAGAACGCCUCUCGUCGAAAGACGGAGACUCGGGUCUAUCGGAAUCAGAAGUCAUUGGAAAGAAAAAUUCAAGAUCCGGCGAGGAAGGGUUUUGUGAAGGAACGAAGAGAGAGGUUUUGAUUAAAGUACAAAAGUAAAAGAAGAGAGUAAUGGUGAAAAGAAGUUACCUCAAGCUAAUGAUGAAACCGCCUCGGAAGUUGUGUGGGAAGUGGGAAGGUUUUUUCCCGUUUUAAUAGUAAAUUAAUCAAUAUACGGUCAUAAUGAUGACAGAUGUCACUCGGUUUAAAAAGGAUAGUGCCAAAAUUAAAGGAGUGAUGGGACUUUCGGCGGGAAAUCAGAAAGAUUCUCGAGCGCAAUCUUUGGCCACUUGAGCAUUUAAAGUCCUCCGAACUGGAAUAAACACUUCGAAGAACUUGGGGGGCUAAUUGUUGGUGUCGGAUCCCGCACCAGAAGUACGAGACCAACCAAAGAUUGCCACGUAAUCAGGAUAAUGGCCCAUAAAGGAUGAAGCCCAUUGGACCCGCGAGCCGAAAGGAUGGACGAAGUGGUUGUCACCAUUUAGAUAACCCGAAGUGACUGCACUAUGACGCGAGUUCGGUGUAGAAGACACGGGUAAGUCGGUUCGAAGACAUUUGGGCCAGAAGAGGCGAGGCCCGUGAAGAUCAGAGUCAACUCAAAUUCAAACGUUGAGCAUUAAAGCCGAAGAAUCAAAACGGACACAUUUAAGAAGGAAUAAUUGUACUUAAUUACUCAUUUUAAAUGUCGUUUAGCUAUGUAUAAAUAUAGAGGCCAGUGGCCAUGUAAAGGGGGGACCAUCUAAAAAAAAGAGAGAAAUAAUAUAGCAAUUUUCGUAUCAAUUUACAAGUUCUUACGUAUUCAUUUUUGUCCCUCAAGAAUAAUCUUUCCCAUUUAACAAAAUACUUGAGUGUGUGAAUCCGACUUCCACAAUACUCCCUCUGUUCCUUUUUCUAAGCAGUUUUAGAAUAUUUUUUUUUGUUUCAAAUUAUAUGUUGUUUUCAAUUCUCAAUGCAAAAUUAAUUAGUUUUUAUUGGUUUUGAUUAUUAAUAUUCUACAGAUUGUUUUAUCAUUGGUUGAAUCAUAUUUAGAUAGAUAAUAAGUAAUAUUUUAAUUUAAAAAUAAAUAAAACUAAGUGAUUCCUUAAUGUGUGUGCAAAAACCUUAAACAACUAAUAUACUGAAGCAGAGGGAGUAAUACUUAUAGCUAUUGUAACACAAACAAAGCAAUUUUUAAAACAAUUUAUGCAUUAAUCCUAUUAAAAAAUACUAUAUUCGUAUAAAAAUAAAAGAUGUUGAAACUUUUUACACAUAGAUUAAGAAAUUAAUUAUUUAGUUUUCUAUUUUUUAAAAACUAAAAAAUUAUUUAUUAUAUAUUAAACACAAUUUCACCAACACUCACUACAGCUACAGGUAGUCUUCCUUUAUUAGAUGUGCAGUGGAUUUGACAAAAAACACUUGUCUUUGGGCCUACAUGGGCCACCCAAAGGGAUAUACCAUAUGUUUUGUGCAUUUACAACAUGUUUAUGGUGUAGACAUGUAAAGGACAAGAAGGAGAGGACAUAGUAAAGACAAGAGAGUAUGGGUUUUCUGAAAAGAAAGAGCCCUUCUUGGUAUGAUAGAGGGGACAACAGAGAGUACGAGACAUUGGUAGAAAGACUUCAACGUGUGGGGUUAUAGUCUCUUCUUCAUGGUUGUAUACUCUAAGCUUUUGCUUCAUGGGGGUUGGAGUGGUGAGAGUAGGGUUUGUAACUCUCAUUAUCUCUUUGGUACCAACUCUUUGUAUGGUACCUACAAACACAAAGGGAAACAUCACAAAGUGUUAGCGGUAUUAGGGUGUGUUUGUAUGUAAUCACUAAAGUUAUAGUGAAGGUUGUGGGAGAGGGUUCCCACCCGAGAGGUAGCGGAUAUUAUCCGUGAACUCGGAUCAAAUCUCGCAAGUGUGUUGUUUCUUUAGUAGCUAGUUGUUCUAAGUUCUUCAAGCAAAAGAAAAAGAUCCUCCAAGAAGUGGUAUCAGAGCUAUACCAUUUCAUAACAGCUUGUUUGUCCAUCAAUGCAGAAGUCUUUACUCUCGGUUUCAAAACUGUGUGAUGACUACCCUUGUGGUGUGUUUUUUUGAUGCUAAUGUUGUGUAUGUGAUUGAUCUACAAACUCAGAAAGUAGUGACCAAAGGGCCUUGUCGUGAAGGCUUGUAUGUGUUGGAGAAUAAGGAAUUUGUAAAUGACCAAAGGGCCUUAAUAAAAUCAGUUCAAACCGUUUGAAUAUUAAGGCCAUGAGCAUCCUUUUCUAGCUUUAAAGCCAAAAGUAGAAAGAUCGGCAAAAUGGAGGAGAUUUUCAUUGCCGAAAACUGAAUUGCAUCGAAUGCGAUUUUAUUAUAUGUUUCAAGUGCGCAAUCUUACCAUACAAGGCACGAUAUAAGCACGACAAUCAUCUCCUCAUAUUUGCAAAGUGAAAGAAGCAAGUGAUCAUUCAGGCUGGUGUGAGGUAUGUGAACGCAAAAUAAUAUAUUCACGAGACAUGUUCAGUAUCUUCUUCCUCGGGGAAGACAUAUUCGGUCCCAACGCAAUAGUAUUCAUUACUAUCAGCGGUAAACAAACAGCUCACUAUGGAUAAACCACGUUCAUAGGGAUCCAAGGUAUAAGCUGAUAAAACGUUGAAAGUUUGGUCUUCUAACAGACGGACAAAAUGCGUCCCAGAAUGUGUACCAGUGCAGAUACCAUAUGUACAUGUCUGCGCCUGAUGGCAGAUACAAGAAGCAUACUCUCCAAGGGGAAUAGUGAGUACGUUAUGCUUCUGAGUAGCAUCAAUGCUGCCAAUCUAAAUCUAAACUCCUCAAAACCAGGAGUGAAGACCACAAAACCUACCAUACAUUAAUCAGACCGGUCUGGACUCUGGAUUAAUCAAUCCAUCAUAAUGAUCUCUAUUCAUACCUUUAUACUAUUAGAAGAGUUUAUAACAAUAUAACUUCAAAUUUGAUUUGUUUACUUUGAUUUUACUAUGUGUUGUCAGGCACACAAAUAUAAAUAAAUUUUAAGUCAUUAUUACAAAAAAAAACUAAUAGUAGUGUCAGUUAUAAAAAUGUUUAUUACAAAAAAAAACUAAUAGCAUUUGUAAAUGAUGGAAGGAAAAAAAAUAAAGAGUACCUCAAUUCCAUCUCGGUUAAUUUUGUAGAUUUUGAGAUGAGUGCAUUUUUUGAACAAGAGAAAUGUUAAAGUGUGAGAUAAAUCAUGGUGAAGAGAAAAAAAUGAAAAAACGAGAGGAAGAAAAACUCACGCAAUGAUCAAAUUGUAAUACUCAUUACUGGUUAAAUUUCUCAUCAUCUUUACUAGUAAACUUACUGAUUCAAAUAAGGCUCCAAACUUUUUCAUCAUUUUUUAGCUUCUCGAGAUUUUUUGGAACCUGCGUAAAUUUCAAUUGAUUAAUAUUUGAUGCGAAAGGAUCUGAACGAUGGAGAGAAAAGCUUCUUGCAAUCUUCUGGUGACUGGUGAAAAUUUCGCGAGAAUGAUAAAUUAAAAUUACUCUAUAAAUUGAAAAUCAAAAGGCGAAUACAAAUCGUUUAGUUUGUUUUGUAAAGUAAUGGUCUUUCAAAAGUUGGCCCAGCGAAAGAUAAUUGGCCCACUGGGACCCGAUCAAAACUAGAUCAAGCACAUUAAAACAUUUUUUUUUCAUUUUAUAACUGACGAUUAACCGUAAAUUGAAUUGCAUUAGUUCUGAACCAAUCUAAAUCUAAACUCCUCAAAACUAGGAAUGAAGACCACGAAAUCUACCAUACAUUAAUCAGACCGGUCGGGGCUCUGGAUUUAUCAAUCCAUCGUAAUGAUCUUUAUUCAUACCUUUGUACUAUCAGAAGAUUUUAUAACAUUGUAAACUUCAAAAUUUGAUUUGUUUACUUUGAUUUUACUGUGUGUUGUGAGGCAUACAAAUAUAAAUAAAUUUGAAGCCAUUAUUUAAAAAAAAAAUACUAAUAGUAGUGUCAGUUAUUUAAAUGUUUAUUUGCUGUUUGUUUAUCUGUCGUUGUUUUGGAGAUGAGAGGUGGCAACUCCCAAUAUCUUUUUGGGGUCAUCUUCAAUGUCCUCUCAGAUCUCAAUUAUUUGAGUUUUUAAAGUCAUCUUUGAUACUUUCUUCUUCUCUUUUUGGGUUCAUAUUUAAAUUUUUUUUUUUUUUUUGUCAACUUCGUUUCAUAUCAAAUCAAAUACAAGUAAAUAUAGUCUAUUAUACAAUGUUCAAGGUGUCCCUUGAGAACCCGAACAUGCGGUAAACAAAAUAAUAUUACCGUGUAAUAUGAUUUGCGUAUUUAGUCCACUAGUCUUUUUUCUUAAAUAUGUCCGGUAGUUUUUAUAAGGUGCAAUAUGUGUCAAAUAUAAAAAGAGUUAUGUAAGUUGCCUACUUUAAUCGAAGUUAGGAACAUUAUUUAAGUUUUAUAAAUAAGAUUGGGUGCAAAUAGUUAUACAAUUAGAGUAAUAAAAUAUAAUGAAAUUAUGCAUUCUUCUAAUAUUUCACCAUUUUAAAUGAAACACGGCACUUUGAAAAUUCAUAAGAAAUUGUUCAUCUAUUAUAUUCAAGAUGAGCGAUUUGAACUAAAUAUAUAUUUGUUAUCAAUAACAUGUAUUGCAUGGAUUUAAAUCUGGAUAACAACACAUCGAUGCAUAUACACUAAAAACAACACAUCGAUGCAUAUAAACUAGCAAAAUCCUACAUAUCACACUAUAGCAUUUUCUUAUAUAGUUCGUAUUUAAAUUAUAAACUGUUAAAAAAAAAAAUUGACUCGAAAUAUAUUUUAAAAUUGACCCGAAAUGUGUUUUAAAAAAAGUUAAAAUAUGUUUUUGAAAAAAGUUCAAAUAUGUUGUCCUCGUAGUUAUCCUCGAACCCUUUGAUUCGAUUGUUUUAGAAUUUAUAAUGCACUUAGGUAGUCAACAAAGCUGGAUUAAUUAAUUAAAUUCGUAGGCCGUUGGAUACUAACACUGAUGAUGCGCAUAAUCCUAUUCUAGUGGAUAAAUAAUUAUAUAUAAAAAAUUAAUUUGUUACACUCACUAGGGGCACAAUAAUGCAAUUUGUCACUACAAUUGAUUUAAAAUAUUAAUAUAUAACUUAGUAAUCAUAUCACUCAACUAAUCACCAACAAUGUAUUUUUUGACAACGUCCCCUAGCACAAAGCUAGAUGUGAAUGUGAUACAUACAAAAAAAACAUACGAUUUAUUUCUGAUAAACAUUUUUUCACCAUACUAUACGUUUAUAUCUAUAUAUAUAUAUAAUAUAAUACAGUGCUAACUAAAACACUAAAUUAUUUAUUACAAGAAGAUUAACGGUAAGAUCAAUUAAAUACACAAAAGUUAACAAAACGACCGAGUCUAGAAAAAAAAAGAAAAAAGUUUAUUCUCCCCUCAAUGAUUUAUUGCCAUUUGAAAAUGUUUUAAAAGCUUAUAUUUAUUUUUGGGAAUUGUUGUGUUGAUAAGCACAUGGAACACCACGAUAAGCACACAUAUAAAAAUUGUUUAAUUUGUAUGUAGAUGAACCCUAUUAAUUAAUAAUUAGAUAGAGAAAUAGUGGGGAUCAGGUGGUAUCUAGUUCAGGCUCGUUCUCUUUUCUCAUUCACUCACCCACGAACCUUCCCAUUAACCAAUCUUCUUCUUCUUACAUAAACACCUCUCAUUCCCACCGUUUCCAAAAAGAGAAAGCUUUCACAAAAACACAGAAAAAACACAAACUUGGUCCAAUCUUUUGAGGAAGAAAAGAGAUUUAGUUGAUAAUAUUGUGAAAAUGGGGGAGCUUUUGUGUUGUCUACCAUUGAAUUCACCAAUCUCUUCGUCUCGAUUCAUUGUUGCUUAUCUCAAAAGGUACUUUCUGGGUUCAGAUUCUUAGGGUUCUUCUUAAAAGUCUGUUUUUUUUUUAAUUGGGGUCUGAUACUUUGGAUGUAAUUGCAAAAAAGGAAGAUUUUUUAAUUUCGAUAUGUAUAUUUCUCGGAUGGGUUUGAGUCGGAGUUUCCCGCCGCUGUUUGGGGGAUUUCGGGAAAUUCUAGGGUUAGGGUUGGAUAUUGUGUUUCUCUAGCAGUCUUCCCACUUUUAAAUCUCUUCAUCUCUCUCCUUUCCUGAGAUUGAAAGAGGUUUCUUUUGCGUUCCUGGAUUCGAGGUUUUGGAUCUUAAUCGAUAUGUGGGUUAAUUGGGAGAUCUGGGAUUUGGGAGAUCUUGUGGAGGAUUGAAGAUAAUUGAAGUAAAGCUCAUAGAUUUAAGAAUGGAGAAGAAGUGAAAGGUGAAGUCUUUUUUUUUUUUUUGUGAGAUGAAAGGUUCAAUUCUCACCGUUUUGUCAAUGGAGAAUCAUCAUCCUUCAACGCUUUUAUCAAUGGAUUCUAGUGGUUCAUCUCAUGAAGAACUUGAUCUGGAGAUGAACAAUGGUAAUAGGCAAAUCACACUUUACAAUCCACCAGACAUCAAUCUGCCUUUGUCUGUUGGACGAAGCUCUCCUUCAUGGAACUUGGAUUCUUGUGAUAACAUUUUGGAUGUUGGUCUUAGCUCUCAUGUCUAUGAGACCGAGACGUUUCUCAAUGUGGUUCCGAGUAAAGUAGCUAAGAAAUGCUUGAAACGAGGGGAUAGUAUGUGGGGAGCUUGGUUUUUCUUUAGCUUCUACUUCAAACCGGCGUUGAAUGAGAAAUCGAAUUCUAAGGUCAUUAGGGAAACUAGUAAUGGAGGAGGAGGAUGUUUUACUGGGUUUGAUAAAUCUGAUCUCAAGCUCGAUGUUUUUCUUGUUCAGCAUGAUAUGGAGAACAUGUAUAUGUGGGCUUUUAAGGAUAAACCUGAGAAUGCGCUUGGUAAAAUGCAGUUGAGAAGUUAUAUGAAUGGGCAUUCUCGUCAAGGUGAGCGUCCCUUUCCGUUUAGCGCCGAGAAAGGGUUUGUUCGGUCUCACAGAAUGCAGAGGAAGCAUUACAGGGGACUCUCUAAUCCUCAGUGUCUUCACGGGAUUGAGUUUGUGGCUUCGCCGAGUUUGUUUGGUGUCAGUGAAGAAGAUAAGAAGAGAUGGAUGGAGCUGACGGGUCGGGAUUUGAAGUUCACUAUUCCUCCUGAUGCUAGUGAUUUCGGUUCAUGGAGAAAUCUUCCCAACACAGAUAUCGAGCUAGAGAGACCAGCUCAUGUUACAAAACCGGCACAGAAUAACACCAAGAAGAUUCUCAGCGGCUCGGGCUUACAUUUGACAAGCAAUGCGUCUUUCAGUAGCAAUGGGGACUCGUCAGAUCAAUCUCCAGGAGGAGUUAUCAACAACAAGAAGAGAAAAGAGUUCCUAUCUCCGGGAAGCAGCGAAGAAGAAUGUUGUUUAACUGUUAACAACAUCGAGACCCACCACGCCAAGGACCCGCCCAGUUGGGUAAACGACUUCACUGGAGUGAUGAAGAACAGCUGCGGACCCGUAACUGCAGCAAAAACCGUCUACGAGGACGAAGAAGCUUAUCUAGUCGUAAUUACUCUACCAUUUGUUGAUUUGAACACCGUGAAGGUUUCAUGGAGGAACAAUAUCACAAAUGGAAUCGUGAAGGUCACGGGAAUGAGCACUUCUAGAGUUUCGUUUGUGAAGAGACGGGACCGGACUUUCAAGCUGGUUGAUCAGACGGCUGAGCAUUGUCCUCCAGGGGAAUUCAUGAGGGAGAUACAGUUGCCAAAUCGGAUUCCGGAAGAAGCAAACAUCGAAGCAUAUUUUGAUGGGACUGAACCAGUUUUAGAGAUUGUGGUUCCAAAAUUGAGAGGAGGAGUGGAGGAAGAACACGAGGUUAGAGUUUGUCUACGGUCACACCACCUCGGAUAAAAGAUGCAACCAUGUUUUAAGUGUUUGUAGAAGCAUUUUGUUGUGUACAAUGGGAAAAAUAAGCAAAAGCAGAAGUGCUGUUUUUUAAGUAAUAACUUUUUUCACUUUAGUUUUUUUUCUUCUGAGCAAGUUGUAUUUAACCAUAAUUUUAUUUGAUUAGUAACACUAUUUUAUUUAUAAAAAGGCUAAAUUGCCUACAACUAAAAAUAUUAUUAUACAAAGGUUUUCCUAUGUAAAUAAAGUAAAACAUAUGUUAUGAUCAUCAAACAUGAUGUAGUUUUACUUUUUUUAUCGUCUCUCAUUUUUUGGUAGUUUAAUCCCAUUUCUUCGAAGCUUUGUGAAAAAUUCAACACACUUAUGUGAAUCUGACAUGUAAAGAAAUUUUCAUAAAGAGAGCUUUCUACCAAGUUUUUAAGAGAAAGGGUCACCAAUGACCAACUAGUAGAGAGAAAGUACUUAGAUCAGAGAAAAAGUAGAACAUAAAAUCCAACACUAAAUAGAGAGUUCAAAUAAAAAAAACAAUAACAAAGAGAACACUUAGUCGACUUCCUCGAUCUUGGGACCAGCCCCACCUGAGGCAGGAGGAGCAUCAUCUUCGUCCAUUCCAGCAGCUCCAGGACCACCAGCUUCACCACCAGCUCCUCCUUGAUACAUCUUAGCGAUGAUCGGAUUGCAAACACUCUCCAACUCCUUCAUCUUGUCUUCAAACUCGUCAGCUUCAGCCAAUUGGUUACCAUCUAGCCAUUGAAUUGCUUCCUCAAUCGAGUCCUCAACCUUCUUCUUGUCUGCCGCCGGAAGCUUCUCACCGAUCUUCUCGUCACGGAUUGUGUUCCUCAUGUUGUAAGCGUAGUUCUCAAGAGCGUUCUUGGCCUCAACCUUCUUCUUGUGCUCCUCAUCCUCAGACUUGUACUUCUCAGCUUCUUGGACCAUCUUCUCAAUAUCCUCUUUAGACAAACGACCCUUGUCAUUAGUGAUAGUGAUCUUGUUCUUUUUUCCAGUGGUCUUGUCCUCAGCAGAGACAUUAAGGAUACCAUUGGCGUCAAUGUCAAAGCAGACAGUGAUCUGAGGGACACCUCGUGGGGCAGGAGGGAUUCCAGAAAGCUCGAAUUUGCCGAGGAGGUUGUUGUCCUUGGUUCUAGCCCUCUCACCUUCAAAAACUUGGAUCAAAACGCCAGGCUGGUUGUCUGAAUAAGUUGAGAAGACCUGUUCCUUCUUGGUUGGAAUUGUUGUGUUUCUUUGAAUCAAAGUGGUCAUGACACCACCAGCAGUUUCAAGACCAAGGGAGAGAGGAGUGACAUCGAGCAAUAGAAGAUCUUGGACCUUCUCGUUUCCUUCACCACUUAGGAUCGCAGCCUGAACAGCUGCACCGUAAGCUACAGCCUCAUCAGGGUUGAUAGACUUGCAAAGCUCUUUGCCGUUGAAGAAGUCCUGAAGCAAUUGCUGAACCUUAGGGAUACGGGUGGAUCCACCAACAAGGACAAUAUCGUGAACAGUGCUCUUGUCCAUCUUAGCAUCACGAAGACACUUCUCAACAGGCUCCAUACACUUCCUAAAGAGAUCCAUGUUCAUCUCUUCGAAUCUAGCACGGGUGAUUGGAGAAUAGAAGUCAGCUCCAUCAAACAAAGAGUCAAUCUCAAUGGUCGUCUGCGCGGUGGAAGAAAGAGUCCUCUUUGCUCUCUCACAAGCUGUUCUCAAUCUCCUGAGAGCUCUCGGGUUACCGGUGAUGUCCUUCUUGUUCUUCCUCUUAAACUCUUGCACAAAGUGGUUAACCAUUCUGUUGUCAAAAUCUUCACCACCAAGAUGAGUAUCACCAGCUGUUGCCUUGACCUCAAAGAUACCUUCUUCAAUGGUAAGAAGAGAGACAUCAAAAGUACCACCACCAAGAUCAAAGAUCAAGACAUUCUUCUCUCCAACACUUGUGGCCUUUUUGUCAAGACCAUAAGCAAUAGCAGCAGCGGUGGGCUCGUUGAUAAUACGCAAAACAUUCAAACCAGCAAUCACACCAGCAUCCUUUGUGGCUUGACGUUGAGAGUCAUUGAAGUAAGCAGGGACAGUAACCACAGCGUUCUUGACCGUAGUGCCAAGGAAAGCUUCAGCGAUCUCACGCAUCUUAAUAAGAACCAUGGAAGAGAUUUCUUCAGCAGCGAAUUGUUUCUCUUCUCCCUUGUAUUCGACGACAAUCAUUGGUUUCUCUGCAGUUCCGGAGAUGAUCUUGAAAGGCCAUAACUGUCUGUCACUUUGGACCGAUGCGUCACUGUAUCUACGACCAAUCAACCUCUUUGCAUCUGUCACAAUUAGCAAAAAAUAAAACAGAGUUUAGUCAACAAAACAAUUCCAGACCAAAACAUCAACUUCAUCUAAAAUUCUUUGUUCAAACUAAUUAAAAACCCUAAAUCCAACAAACUCACAUGAACAGUUCAUAAUCAGCUUAAGGGUACCGUAUAACGCAAACAAGUGAUUCAAAAACGUCUAAGAUCGUCCUAUAAACCCUAAAAAUCGUACUUUAACUCAUAAUACCAACCAACCAGAGUAUAAGAUGAGAUAUACAUACCGAAAACAGUGUUAACCGGGUUCAUAGCGACCUGGUUCUUAGCAGCAUCACCGAUCAACCUCUCAGAGUCGGUGAAAGCAACGUACGACGGAGUAGUUCUGUUUCCUUGAUCAUUAGCGAUGAUCUCAACACGGUCGUGUUGCCAUACUCCGACGCAAGAGUACGUCGUACCAAGAUCGAUACCGAUCGCAGGACCUUCUCCUUUACCAGCCAUUAUCACACUAACAGAGAAAAAGCUUGAAAAAAGUUUUAGGGCAGCGAAGCGAAAGUUUAGAGCUAGGUUUUUAGGUUUGUGAAGAAAGAGCGUCCAAGUCUUGGUUUUUAUAAGGCUGAGACUAAUGGUUCCAGAAUGUUCCGGGAUUGUAUUUUUAACCGUUGAUUAUGUUUGAGAUUGAUCUGACGGUGUUUAAGUGAUAGAUUCCUUUUCCAAAUCCUAGGCAAAUUUGUUCCAGGAAAAAAACAAGGAAAAAAGUGAUAUUGUCCCAAAACGGAAAAGCGCGUGUUGAAAAUUGGAAAACUGCUCUAACGUUCAUAUGUGGGGUCGGCUUAUUAAUUGACACGUAAGAUUUCUUGGCAGUGGUAAUGGGCCUAGUAAGAAUUAAGAAAUAAUAAAGGCCGGUCAUUGGCUGUGGGCCGUGGUGAGGACUUUCUUUUAAUUGAUUGGGCAUAGAUAGAACUUAGAAGAGAAGCUACUCAUUUUAAUUUGUCUUUGAGUGAAAACAAAACUUUCGCUAUACGUUACUUGCAAAUUAAGAAACAUGUAUGUUUGAUUUUGCAAUUUUUUACUUGAUAAAAAUAUUAAAAUAGAGAAGCAUACAACUUUUACAAUGACAAAACAUGGUUUAUGGAACUUUUACAAUGACAGAUUUCAUGAUAUUUUAUGGAAUACGAACUUGAAAUUGUUGGAGAAAAUAUUAAAAAUUGCAACAACAUUAAUCCGUGAACUUUUGAAUUUCUUAUUGGAUAUAGUUUUGUGAGUAAACGAACAAUAAAAAUGAGUGUUCUUAUGAUAUUUUUACUUUUGGGUUGAGGUCAAGAUAUUGGUUUACAUUUUGAUGUUUUUGACCUUCUUAAAACUUAUAAAAGCCUUACCACGUAUGGGAAAAUACUCAAACAACAAAACAUGUACCACGUACGAGACUUGGAGGGGUACACUAAAACCAUAAAGAAAUUCAGAGAGGGAAUAUAGAAACUUUUAAUUUUAUCCGUCAUCGUAGCUGUGCUGGGAUCAAACCAGCCAUUGUUCAAAAAAGUACUAACCAAAAAACACCACAAAAUGGGCUCCAUUAAAAAAGCCCAACAUAAAAAGUCUUAAGAGAUCCAAAAUAAGCAAGUAAAAAGAUAGAGAUAGGAGAAAGAGAGAGGUCACGAUCCAACAGAUUAGUCGACCUCCUCGAUCUUAGGUCCAGCACCGCCUGAAGCAGGAGGAGCAUCAUCGUCCAUACCAGAGGCACCUGGACCGGCUUCACCACCAGCUCCUUGAUACAUCUUGGCAAUGAUUGGGUUGCAGAUGCUCUCCAAUUCCUUCAUCUUGUCUUCAAACUCAUCAGCCUCAGCCAACUGGUUACCCUCCAGCCAUUGAAUCGCCUGCUCAAUAGAGUCCUCGAUCUUCUUCUUGUCUGCUGCGGGAAGCUUCUCACCAAUCUUCUCGUCUUGAAUGGUGUUCCUCAUGUUGUAAGCGUAGUUCUCAAGAGCAUUCUUGGCUUCAACCUUCUUCUUGUGCUCCUCAUCUUCGGACUUGUACUUCUCAGCCUCUUGAACCAUCUUCUCAAUCUCAUCCUUCGAGAGACGACCCUUGUCAUUGGUGAUGGUGAUCUUGUUCUUCUGUCCAGUGGUCUUGUCCUCAGCAGAGACAUUGAGGAUACCAUUGGCAUCAAUGUCAAAGCAGACUGUGAUCUGAGGGACACCACGAGGAGCCGGAGGGAUUCCGGAGAGCUCGAAUUUACCGAGAAGGUUGUUGUCCUUGGUUCUGGCUCUCUCUCCUUCGUACACCUGGAUCAACACACCGGGUUGGUUGUCUGAGUAGGUGGAGAAGACCUGUUCCUUCUUGGUUGGGAUGGUUGUGUUUCUUGGGAUCAAAGUGGUCAUGACACCACCGGCAGUUUCCAAACCAAGGGAGAGAGGAGUAACAUCGAGCAAUAGAAGAUCUUGGACCUUCUCGUUUCCUUCACCACUGAGAAUAGCUCCCUGGACGGCAGCACCGUAGGCAACAGCCUCAUCAGGGUUGAUAGACUUGCAAAGCUCCUUGCCGUUGAAGAAGUCCUGAAGCAAUUGCUGAACCUUAGGGAUACGGGUGGAACCACCAACAAGGACAACAUCGUGAACAGUGCUCUUGUCCAUCUUAGCAUCACGGAGACACUUCUCAACUGGCUCCAUACACUUCCUGAAGAGAUCCAUGUUGAGCUCCUCGAAUCUAGCACGGGUGAUGGUGGAGUAGAAGUCAAUACCCUCGUAUAGAGAGUCAAUCUCGAUGGUGGUCUGAGCAGUGGAGGAAAGGGUCCUCUUCGCUCUCUCACAGGCAGUUCUCAACCUCCUAAGAGCUCUUGGGUUACCAGUGAUAUCCUUCUUGCUCUUCCUCUUGAACUCUUGAACGAAGUGGUUAACCAUUCUAUUGUCAAAAUCUUCCCCACCAAGAUGGGUGUCUCCAGCAGUUGCCUUGACCUCAAAGAUACCCUCUUCAAUAGUAAGAAGAGAGACAUCAAAAGUACCACCACCAAGGUCGAAGAUAAGAACAUUCUUCUCUCCAACGCUGGUAGCCUUCUUGUCAAGACCAUAGGCAAUAGCGGCAGCUGUCGGCUCGUUGAUGAUUCGCAUAACGUUCAAACCAGCAAUAACUCCAGCAUCCUUUGUAGCUUGGCGCUGAGAGUCGUUGAAGUAAGCAGGAACGGUGACAACAGCGUUCUUGAUAGAGACACCAAGGUAAGCCUCAGCAAUCUCACGCAUCUUAAUGAGAACCAUGGAAGAGAUCUCCUCAGCAGCGAACAUCUUCUCUUCACCCUUGUAUUCGACGUAGAUCAUUGGCUUGUCGGCGGGUCCUGGUUGAAUCUUGAAUGGCCACAAUUUCAUGUCACUCUGGACAGAGCUGUCAGAGAAACGACGACCGAUCAACCUCUUAGCAUCUGCAACAACCAAAAAAAAUGAACAAAUUAAGUAACCUGAUAAUAAUUAAACAAGCAAUAAAGAUCUGAAGCAUAAUCAACAAAAAUAGUAAUAAAUAUCUGACACGACUUACCAAUUCAAAAAAAUCAACAGCUAUUACUAGUCCAAGCAAGAACUUACUAAAAUAAGCAUAGUUGAAUCAAUAUAAACAGGAUCUAACCAAUUAGAUCUAUUGAUGAAACCCUAAAUCCAACAUAUUCAAUUGUUUUCCAGAUCAUAGAUCUAACUACAACACGACUAUAGAUCUAUAUACGAUGAACUAGAUCUAGAUUUCAAGUAUAAGAGAGCUAUGAAAACGAGAUACGUACCGAAAACGGUGUUAACAGGGUUCAUGGCGACCUGGUUCUUAGCGGCAUCACCGAUCAACCUCUCGGAGUCGGUGAAAGCGACGUAAGACGGCGUGGUUCUGUUUCCUUGAUCAUUAGCAAUGAUCUCAACACGGUCGUGUUGCCAUACUCCGACGCAAGAGUAAGUAGUACCAAGAUCGAUACCGAUAGCUGGUCCUUCUCCUUUACCCGACAUUUUUUAUCGGAAGAUUUGGAGCUACAAGAGAUCUAAGAACAGAGACUGAGAAA